This 67450-nucleotide long non-coding RNA is filed under the name Lathyrus oleraceus (garden pea). RNAcentral describes it as "Pisum sativum (pea) long non-coding RNA (PSAT_LNC021935)". The record is from RNAcentral. Lineage: Eukaryota; Viridiplantae; Streptophyta; Magnoliopsida; Fabales; Fabaceae.
AAUCUUUAUCAAAUGAAAUUAAAGUUUAUUUUAAAACACAAACAACUAGUUCAUUGAAAUGAUAACUUGUUUAGUACACAAACAAGAUCUUACUUAAUACAUAGAAAUAAGAUCUUACGGAACAUAGAGAUUAAAAACAUAGGAACAACAUGAAAAGUUUUUAAAAUGACAUAGAUAUUGAUUAACAAAGAUAUGAACUAGUUUCGGGUAUUUUUUAACCAUCCAUCAAGGUAAACUUGUUUGGAGUCAGGGGUGGAUUUUGGUCUAAUAUCUUUCAACCAUCCAUCAAGGUAAACUUGGUUGGAAUCAGAGGAGGAUUUUGCUUUUUCAGCUCGAGUGUCUUUCAACCAACCAUCAAGAUAAACUUGUUUGGGAUCAGAGGUGGAUUUUGUUUUCUCUGCUCGAGUAUCUUUCAACCACCCAUCAAGGUAUACUUGGUUGGAGUCAGGGGUAGAUUUUGUUCUCUCGUUUCGAAUAUCUUUCAACCAUCCAUCAAGGUAAACUUGGUUGGAAUCAGAGGAGGAUUUUUCUUUUUCAGCUCGAGUGUCUUUCAACCAACCAUCAAGAUAAACUUGUUUGGGAUCAGAGGUGGAUUUUGUUUUCUCUACUCGGGUAUCUUUCAACCACCCAUCAAGGUAUACUUGGUUGGAGUUAGGGGUAGAUUUUGUUCUCUCGUUUCGAAUAUCUUUCAACCAUCCAUCAAGGUAAACUUGGUUGGAGUCAGAGGAGGAUUUUUCUUUUUCAGCUCGAGUGUCUUUCAACCAACCAUCAAGAUAAACUUGUUUGGGAUCAGAGGUGGAUUUUGUUUUCUCUACUCGGGUAUCUUUCAACCACCCAUCAAGGUAUACUUGGUUGGAGUCAGGGGUAGAUUUUGUUCUCUCGUUUCGAAUAUCUUUCAACCAUCCAUCAAGGUAAACUUGGUUGGAGUCAGAGGAGGAUUUUUCUUUUUCAGCUCGAGUGUCUUUCAACCAACCAUCAAGAUAAACUUGUUUGGGAUCAGAGGUGGAUUUUGUUUUCUCUACUCGGGUAUCUUUCAACCACCCAUCAAGGUAUACUUGGUUGGAGUCAGGGGUAGAUUUUGUUCUCUCGUUUCGAAUAUCUUUCAACCAUCCAUCAAGGUAAACUUGGUUGGAGUCAGACAUGGUUUUUGUUUGCUUUGCUCGAGUAUUUUUCAACCAUCCAUCAAGGUAAACUUGGUUGGAGUCAGAUGUAGAUUUUUCUUUCUCAGCUCGGGGAUCUUUUAACCAUCCAUCAAGAUAAACUUGUUUGGAGUCAGAGGUGGAUUUUGUUUUCUCUGCUCGGGUAUCUUUCAACCAUCCAUCAAGGUAAACUUGAUUGGAGUUAGGCAUGGACUUUUCUUUCUCGACUCUGAUAUUUUUCAACCAUCCAUCAAGAUAAACUUGGUUUGAGUCACUUGCAGGUUUUGUUUUCUCAACUCGGGUAUUUUUCAACCAUCCAUCAAGGUAAACUUGGUUGGAUUCAGAGGUGGAUUUUGCGUUCUCUGCUCUGGUAUCUUUCAACCAUCCAUCAAGGUAAACUUGGUUGGAGUUAGGUGUUGACUUUUCUUUCUCAGCUCUGAUAUCUUUCAACCAUCCAUCAAGAUAAACUUGGUUGGUGUCACCGGUAGAUUUUGCUUUCUCAGCUCGAUUAUCUUUCAACCAUCCAUCAAGGUAAACUUGGUUGGAUUCAGAGGUGUCUUUUGCUUUCUUUGCUCUGGAAUCUUUUAACCAUCCAUCAAGAUAAACUUGAUCAGAGUUCUGGGAGGAUUUGGUUUUCUCUGCUCGUGUAUCUUUCAACCAUCCAUCAAGAUAAACUUGGUUAGAGUUAGCAAUGUGUUUUUGACUCUUCAAUGGAUUUUUGAGCCAACCAUCAAGGUAAGGUUGAUCAACUUGUAUUUCUUGUACAUUCUCUUGCUGAAGUUUGAUAUAUCGGGCAAAGCUUCCUUGUCCAUUCUAUAAUACAAUUGAAUAAAUGGAUAUUAGUGAGUUAUUUUUGGAUGGUAUAUAUGAUUACAAAAACAAAAUAAUGUGUUUUAUAAGACACAUUAUGUUGCACAGGUGAGACACAUUCAUUAUAUAUUUCAGAUGGAUACAAAAUGUGAAAUAAAAAUGAAAGAAAAACAAUUUUUAAAAUUUCAUUGCGGCAUAGAAAACAUUAUUUUAUCAAAUCAAAUAGAACAACUUGAUUGUAAGUGAAUGAUGAAAUCAAAUCAAAUAAAGAUGAGAAAUGAUAGAUUGUGAUAAAUAAAUGAUGAAAAAUAUAAGUGUAAAAGAUACAAGAAUGGAUGCAAAGUUAGUAACUUACGAUCAACAAGAGCAUGAUAAAAGGGAGGAGAAACAAAACAUCUUUGUGUGUCAUUUCUUUAAUGUUAUGAUUUUGUGGGAAAAUUGUUUUAAUGUGAAAAGAUGUAUUGAAAUGGAAGUGAAUUGGGCUAUUUAUAAGUGAAUGAAAAGAAAAACUACAUUAAGGAUAUUAAGGACAUUGCGACUUUGGUUGGCAAGAUUAUUUUUUAAAUAUUUAAUUUAUUUUAUUUUUUAAAUGUUUAGUUUAAUUUAUAAGUUUAUAUGUCUAAGAAAGAUCAAUUUACUUUUUCCAAGAUCUAUUAGGUGUGUUGUUUUGAGUUAUAAAUAAAAAAUUCAAAAAAUUGUUUGUUUGGUAUCAUUUUUUUAAUUAGAAGCUCCUAACUAAAUUCUCCAGGUUUAAAAUAAAUAAAUUUUAGAAAAGCUACUGCAAUUAGUUUUUUAUUUUAAAAUUAAAAAUGAUUCUCUUAAAAACUUUAAUAAAAACCUAUUAAAAUGAUAAAGGUGAUUUUUUAAAUGUUAAACAAACAUUUAUUUUGAUAAGUUAUUUCAAAUAAUUUAAAAUUUCAUAAAUUUAUUUUAAUUUAUAAUUGAAGUGGUAAUUAUCAUAAUCUCGUCUCUUGAGUUCUAAUAUUUGAGCUAAUAGUAUAAAUAUUUUUUAGUUGAAUUAAAAUUUGCAUUAAUGAUAGUUUCAAUUUUACAAUUAAUUAAACUAAUUUAGUAGUUAAUUUUAUUAAGUGUAAUAAAUGCAAUGAAUUAAUUUAACUACAUCCCCUUUAAUUCGAGGUGGGUGUAGGUAUUCCGAGACAUUCAAAUUUGAAGACUAAUAUAUAGAUUAAAAUUAUUUAUUAAUUUAUUUAAUGGUAAUUACAUAUUACAAAAUUUCAUUUUUGGAAAAAAGUUAUUAUUUUAAUAUUUUAUAUUUUUUAAUAGUUAUUAUUUUAUAAAAUUAAUUAUAAUGAGUAUAAUAUUUUAAUUUUAUUAUCAUCAAAUAUACACGACAUCAAAAUUACCAAACAUGAAAUCUAAAUAUAGGGAUCCAAUUAAUUGAAUUGGAAUUUACAUUGUGAAUCAUGAGUCUUCUGCCACCAAUUCCUAGGGACUCACUACCUAGCAAACAAUGAAUACAAAAUAGUAUCACAAGAAACACUAAAAUACUGUGUUGACCCUUGCAUGUUUAAGAUGUUCACAUGUAGCUAGGGUUUGGGUGGUUAUGUAGUUAUGCUUACCUAAUAGUAAGACUGUGUUGACCUUUGCAUGUUUAAGAUGUUCACAUGUAGCUAGGGUUUGCGUGGUUAUGUAGUUAUGCUUAUCUAAUAGUAAGUUAAAAAAUUGUAGUUAUCUAAAAAGUAAUAAAUUAUUAUAUUGACCGGUCUAAAGAGAAGAUAGAUAAGUUANGUAGUUAAUUUUAUUAAGUGUAAUAAAUGCAAUGAAUUAAUUUAACUACAUCCCCUUUAAUUCGAGGUGGGUGUAGGUAUUCAGAGACAUUCAAAUUUGAAGACUAAUAUAUAGAUUAAAAUUAUUUAUGUUCGUCUUAUAUAUUUUUUUUUUAUAUUUUAAUAUAAAUAUUUAUUAAUUUAUUUAAUGGUAAUUAUAUAUUACAAAAUUUCAUUUUUGGAAAAAAGUUAUUAUUUUAAUAUUUUAUAUUUUUUAAUAAUUAUUAUUUUAUAAAAUUAAUUAUAAUGAGUAUAAUAUUUUAAUUUUAUUAUCAUCAAAUAUACACGACAUCAAAAUUACCAAACAUGAAAUCUAAAUAUAGGGAUCCAAUUAAUUGAAUUGGAAUUUACAUUGUGAAUCAUGAGUCUUCUGCCACCAAUUCCUAGGGACUCACUACCUAGCAAACAAUGAAUACAAAAUAGUAUCACAAGAAACACUAAAAUACUGUGUUGACCCUUGCAUGUUUAAGAUGUUCACAUGUAGCUAGGGUUUGGGUGGUUAUGUAGUUAUGCUUACCUAAUAGUAAGACUGUGUUGACCUUUGCAUGUUUAAGAUGUUCACAUGUAGCUAGGGUUUGCGUGGUUAUGUAGUUAUGCUUAUCUAAUAGUAAGUUAAAAAAUUGUAGUUAUCUAAAAAGUAAUAAAUUAUUAUAUUGACCGGUCUAAAGAGAAGAUAGAUAAGUUAUUAUAAUCAAAUAUUAUCUAAAAAACAAUAAAUUAUAAGGAAUAUAGUUUCAUUAUUUUUAUGUUUAUUUAAAAAAUAUAAAUAUUUUUUAAAUUAAUGAUAAAUAAUUGAUUUUAAAUGUGAUGAUGGUUUAUAUCUUUACAUAAGAAACUAAAUGAUAAAAUGUGAAUAUUCAUAUCUAACAUUAAAUAUUUAUCUAAAUAUGUAGGCCAGCCUCAUAUUUAUUGUAAAUUUUUUAACAAAGCUUUUAAUAAUGUAAAUUAGAAUAAUGUAGGCCAGCCUCUCUAUUUAUAUAAAAAAAAUAUUUUUUAAAAUAUUUUUAUAAUAAAAAUAUAAAAUUUGUCACAAAACAAUUUUAUUAUUUUAUUAACUAUAAAAAUAUAGGUUAUAAAUCACAUAUUUCAUUUAUAAUUCAUUAACCAGUAAAAUACGUAAUAUUAAUCAAAUUAUAAUAUUAAAAUAUGAAAUACACAAUUUGCUUAAUUAUUAAUUAUUAUAUUUUAUAUUUUAAUGUCAAAAUUUAUUGAUAUUAUUUAUUUUAUUAAUUGAAUACAGUAAUAAAUAAAAUAUAUGGUUAAUCACCUAUAUUUUUGUGAUUAAUAUAAUAAUAAAAUUAAUUAAUAACAAACUUUAUAUUUAUAUUAUAAAAAUAAUUAUAAAAAUAAAUCAAAAACGAGUUUAAGACAACAUAGGAAAAAGGGAGACUCGGAUAUCGUAUCUCAAAGACGGUUGAAUUAUUAUUAAUAUACUGGAAUCGAAUUGGGGGUUUAUAUUUGAUUCAUAAUAAAUGAUUAUGAAAAGUGAUUAUAAAAUAAGUUGAUUUAUUGAUUCGGUUCCUACCUACCAUUGAUUAUUAUAGCGCGAAUGAAAGUGUAAGAAUUAUGUUUCUUAUUUGCUGAAUUAAGCAAUCAGUUAAGAUUAAAGCGAAUUAACGGAUUAAGCAUACGUUAACACGCAAUCAAAAUUAGGGAACAAUAAAUAUUCAAAUCAAACAAAAUUACUAAGUUUGAAAUUGUACCUCAUUCAGGUCUUGGUUCAAGCAUCCCUAUGUGCAUCACAUUUAACUUUGCAUAGGCCAUGAACUCAAGUCUUUUGGUAUGGAAAAAUGCAUAGAUCCAUAUGCCCGAUUCACUUCAUUCAUAUGAUGCAGAUGAUCAAGGAUGAUUGAUCCAUUUAAGACUUAGUUCCAUUGGUUCAUUCUUUGUUGCUUAAGAAAUCUCAGGGUUUUACUAAGAAGAAAGAGGUCGAGACCAGUGUCGUGAUAGUAAAUAUCUACCCUCAAGUUCAAGCACCUAUGACUCAUGUGUCAUACUACCCUUAUCUGUACAUUGUCGCUGCUCAAUAUCAGCAACCUGCAUACCAACCGCAAUAUCAACAGCCUCCAUGGGCUCCAAUUUCUCAGAAUCAACAAAAUAGCAGAAACCAGAGUCUAGGUCAGGGCAGACGUUAUGAUAGAAAACGUCCUCAGCCUGACCAUAUCCCUGUAUCAUACACUCAGUUGUUGUCGUAUCUUGUCCAGUAAGGAGCAAUUGCGCCAAAAGAGAUUCCGCCUGCAACUCCUCCCUAAAAUCACAAGCAUAAUCCUAAUGUGUCUUGUGCAUUUCAUGUCGGAUACAUAGGGCAUUCUACAGAGGAUUGUUUGGUCCUCAAGACCAUAGUACAAGAGUUAAUUGAUCAUAAGGUUUUGUAAUUCUCUGAGGCAGGACCCAAUGUCAUAACCAACCUAUUGCCAGACCACUGUGGACAGAUAGUGAAUGCAGUUUAUGGCGAAGAUUCCUCAGAUUCAGUUGAUUCUUCAGAGAAGUACUGAUGCUAGCAAUAUCAUAUUGAUUCAAUCAUGUAUCAUUUGUAAUCUUUUCUUGUUUGUUAAUUGUUGUUCAUUUGUAAAACUUGUCUGGUUUUUCAGAUGAUAAUAAUAAUGAAAUAAGCGUGCAUGUUUUGCUUAAAUCCAUUCGUGUUCACUCAUAUUUUAUUUUAUCAGUAUCAAAUUGUUUGUCGAACAAAAUCAAAAGAGAAUGAUGAAAUUAAAAAUAUGCAAGAUCGCUGUUUGUAUGCUUUUGAAUAAGAUCAUGUUGAUGAUGCAAGGCAUUGUUCAAUCCCUAAACACCGGAGAUAUAAGGAAGAUAAUCCCUAGUCAACCCAUUUGGAUGUUGUAGUAGGAGUUUCUUUCUUUAACACAUAAAAUCCUCAUGCUUAACUAGGGGCAGGGUAUUCUUCAUUUAGUUUAGACUUGCAUUCAAAUUUCAGAAGGAGAAUAUCUCAUCCAGUGAUCAAUCAUAUCAUAUCCCUCUCAAGAGGAUGGAAUCACAAAUCCAGGAUGGUUAUCCCUUACCAUUCAAAAGGAGUGAGAUAGUCACGACCCAUGCAACAAAUCAAGAAAGUCGUGUCACACGGUUUUCUCUAGUACAAAAAGAAAAGAUGAAAAAAUUAAAAGUCCGCUAAGUCAAAAACUUGAAAACAAGAUUGACUUAUAUGUGUGUGUUUGGGGUGAGUCUGGAGAUGCACCUUCGAACUUCGAAAUGUGUGAGCUUUUUUGUAUUUUUCAUCUCAUGCCCUAGUAAUAUAUAUGGUGCAUUAAAAAAUAUCCAUAAAUUAAGGGAUUUGGUUAACACACUCUUAGGAUUGUUUUUCGACCCUUGUGAAAAAUCAAAACUACCUUUAGAAUUCAGAAAUAAAUCUUUGGACGCACCUCAAACACACACACAAUCAAUUCAUUUUUGAGUCAUGAAGUUAAUUAGGAAAUGCAUCUCCUUAAAUAUUAACGGGGGUGUAUUUUCCAAACCUAUUGAACCACACAGAAUUGCAUAAACCAAACAGAUGCAGAAAUAAAGAUAAAUCACAUUGAUAACAUGAAAAAUGAAAUAUUACAUAGAUAAUCGUUAACAUAAAUCGAACUUUGCAUUUGAACAUCAAGAUGGACGUUUCAACAUAUUUAUAAUAUCUUUUAUCGAUCUCGCAAUCAUCGCAUCCAACUUGAUCAAACAUUUUAUUUCGUAACGGUUAAAUGUAUUUCACAUAACUCUUAAAUCCGCAUCCGUCUUCAGCUUAAAGUUGUUGAACUGAAUCUACCAUUCAUUAUCAACCGAGAGUGAACCUUACUUGAGUUUCACAAUUCUUCAAUGAACUUAAAUGCAAUUGAGGACUCCGCGUAGUUGAGUCAUAUUUCAUGGAGACUCAUAAUGCGUCCAAAAAUGCAUUUCCAAAAUUUUAGUGGCAUUUUUAAAUUUUUAUAGGAUGGUUUUCCAGCACUUAUGUAGAGAUAAACAAUUUCCUUAUUAAAGGUCUCUGAGAGGAAUUGAAAUAAAUAUAUUUAAAAAAUUAGUAUUAUACUUAUUUAAGGAAUAAAGUUUUCUAACCAAAAAUUUUUCCCUAAUUUUUUUGUGCCUAAUUUUUUUGCUAACAAAAUAGAGACCUGAUUAUAUUUCACUAAUUUUCAUUCAUCUCUCAAUUAAUAUCUCUCAUAACCCUCAUUAACUCUCAAUUAAUGUAAUUCAUAUCAAUUAAUUGUUUUUUGAAAAUUUUGUAUCCGGCUUCGGACCAACUAGUUUAGUGAAUUGCUAAUUUCAUCUUUAAGUGUUGGAAAAAUACCUUAUAAAAAUUUGAAAAUACUCUUCUGAUUCCAAAAAUGCAUCUUCGGACGCAACUUGCACCUCACCAAAACACGCUUCAACUUGUUGAUGUUUUUUAUGUAAUUCAAGUGGUGUAACUGGUUACCUCAUGUGGUGUAAACGGUUACCACUAAAGUUGAUUUAAUUCAAUAUCAGAUGUAACCGAUUAUCCACUUUUGUGUAACGAUUACAAGCUUAAUAUUUUGAUUUUUUCUGAUAUUUUACUUGGUCAAUUCAGUUCCCAAUUGUGUUGUAUCUCUUGUAUAAGUGUUUAGAAUGUACACUCAUCUAAGGUUAAUGCAAUAAUAAUCUCUCAUCCUCAAUUCUCCUCUUUCACACUCCACAUCCAAAGUAUCUCCACCAUUAUUCACCAAACUUGUGGUGUCCUGUUCCAACAUUUGACAUCAAGAGUCUGGUUCAGAUCCACAAACACUUAGUGUGCAACAUGAAUUAUGUUUCCAAUGAAAAAAUCCCUCCAAACCUACCUAUCCUUGAUGCGAAGAAUUAUGAUAAAUGGUACAAGGAAAUGAAGAUGUUGUUUGGCUACCAAGAUGUUCUUACAGUAACUCUUAAGAGAAAAUAGUUGUCCCUGACCUACUUUGAGUCUCCGUAGGGAAAUUGGACUGGCAAAGAGGGUAGAAGGAGGAAACUACUCAAGUGAGCUUGAAGCAACAAAGGCAGUGAGUUUAGUUCCCACGCGGGGAAGAACGUUUAUAACAAGAGCCAGGAAGAUAAAUUAUUUUAUAAUACCUUCUCAAAAGUAAAAUGAGCUAUGAGAAAGAGCAAGAAUCUCAAGCGAUUGGCUGAACUUAACCUAGCUCGAGCUACAUGGCGGUUGAUCAAGGGAUACCGGAAAGAGGCAAACAACAGAACCUCCGGGUUUGAAGCUUUUCAUGUCGGGGCGAGGUCAAUCAAGGGUUUUGGGUCAGUGAAAGCUCGAGUGCCCCCUUCAAAAGUAAGGUGUCGGGAAUGCAACCAGUGAGGUGACCCGUUCCGUUAGGGCGGAUGAAAGAAGUUAUCCUGAAGCAGCGUCAAAGGCCUCUGUAGGCCCUUCAACAGGAUUUUUUGUCGUGUAGCAUUCUGUUUUGGCUACUCACGAAACUCUUUAUCCUUAAUAGGAAGAACUCCCUUUAGAGGAAGGAUACAAAGACCAAGCCUGUCUUUCUCUCUUAAAAAGGGCAUAUGGGGCAGGGCAGAAAGACUAUUUUAGGGGACUAAUCUGCUAAUGAAUGAAGGAAGGAGAAGGCCUUAAUUGUCUAUCCAAAGGUCCGCCUUGGGUGGAUUUAGGCGAAUCAAGUGGGUGGGAAUGAUCCGAGCCCCCUAUGUAAAUUUCAGUAAGGUAACUAAGGUUUACAAUAAUUCAUUUCAGUAGUGCGUUACCUUGCAGCUCUAUCUAUCGGGUAGUCAGUCUCUUGGUCAAAAGCCGGUACCUAAUUCCCCUGCUGGUGGGCCGAUCCUCGUCUAGCGGUGGGAACCGGCUGGUAUGGAUCAAUUGCUUGCCCUGUCUCUCUUCUGUUCAACCAUCGAGAAUCCGCAGUUAUCUUUGCUCAUUGGGUGGGCGAAGGAAUCCUUUCUAUUGAAUAAGGGCUUUGAGAAGCAGGCCAUUCCGUUCCAGUUAGCACCGUAUCCCGCUUUUCCGAUAGCAAAGGGCCUUCUAAUUAGCGUGCUUUGCUUAACCCGGCAAGAUCCGAGAUCAGACCUAGUCCUGCUGACCCGCUACCCUUGAAAACAUACUUUUUGCCACCUUACGACUGGUGUGAAGGAACUUAUUGCACAUAUUUAACAUGGGGAAGGAAAGAGGAGGGAAUAAAGCAUAUUUUAGGCAUCGANUUAAGAAAUGUCCAUGAAUUAAGGGAUUUGGUUAACGCACUCUUAGGGUUGUUUUUCGACCCUCGUGAAAAAUCAAAACUACCUUUAGAAUUCAGAAAUAAAUCUUUGGACGCACCUCAAACACACAUAAUCUGUUCAUUUUGUAGUCAUGAAUUUAAUUCGGAAAUGCAUCUCCUUAAAUAUUUAUGGAGGUGUAUUUUCAGAACCUACUUAACCACAAAGAAUUUCAUAAACCAAACAGAUGCAGAAACAAAGAUAAAUCACAUUGAUAACAUUGAAAAAUGAAAUAUUACAUAGAUAAUCGUUAACAUAAAUCGAACAUUAUAUUUGAACAUUAAGAUGGACGUUUCAACAUCUUUAUAAUAUCUUUUAUCGAUCUCGCAAUCAUCGCAUCCAACUUGAUCAAAUAUUUUGUUUCGUAACGGUUAAAUGUAUUUCAGAUAACUCUUAAAUCUGCAUUCGUCUUCAGCUUAAAAUUGUUGAAAUGAAUCUUCGAUUCAUUAUCAAUCGAGAGUGAACCGUACUUGAGUUUUGUAAGAACAAAAAUAGUUCUACAAUAGAUUCCAUGAUUUUGAUGAUAACAAAGGAUGAAACCAAAAAUGGCACCCUAACGAAAAGUUUCUAAGUGUGCAGGGUUCUAAAGAAAGAAGAAAUAAAUCUGAUGAUGUCAUCAGAUGCAAAACAAGAUCAGAUGUAAAAUCUCAAGUAUCAGAAGCAUCUAAAGAGGAAUCUCAUUCAAGAAGCUCUGACUCUGGACAAAACUACAAAGUAUCAGAAGCAUCUGAACAUGAAGUAAAGUCUAGAAGCUCUGACUCUGAACAAAUGCCUUCUGUAAAUUCUGAAGUUAUCAGCGCCAUCUGAACUUUCAAGAGAUAACAUCAGAAGCCAGUUUCUCCAGAUACACAAAGACUCUAAUCAGAAUUGUUAAUCAUGAUGAAGUAACGUUUAAGCCAAGUUAAAGUUCUGCAAAUGGAUUUCCUCAAUUAGAAAGAGACGUUAAUCUCCACUUCCAAGAGAGAAGAUACUAAUUGUGGUAAGUAGUCACUUCUAAGAGAAAAAGUCUACUGCAGAAGCUAUUAAUGGAAUGGCGUAACUACAUCUCAAUAUCCAACAGAUUCAACGCUACUUCAACUCUACUUCAACUCCUAUAAAUAGAGAAGAAAUCUCAUUCAGUAAGAAAGAAAUCACUAGCCAAAACUAUACUGAAAUUAUAUCACGCUCAAGAAAAACAUCUUUGUUCUUCAAAGAUUUUCACUAAGCUUUUGCUUAUCAAGUGAAAAAUUUGUUCUUAAGUUUGUAAUAUUUGCUUUCUUAGAAGCACUCUAGAUUACACAUCUUGUAUCUAAUUUUUAUUUGAUUUCCUCAAGUGACUCUUUGUAGUCUGUAGACUUGAGAGGACUAAGAGAUUUUCUUCUCUCUUAGGGGUUGUUUGUAAUCUUUCAAGAUUAGUGGAUUAAGUCCUUGUUGAAGGCGAAAUCACCUUGGCCGGGUGGACUGGAGUAGCUUUGUGUUAUAAGCGAACCAGUAUAAAAUCAUUGUGUGAUUUUCUUUUGCAAAAGCGCUUAUUUUUCAAACAAUUCAAACCCCCCCUUUCUUGUUUUUCUCACCUUCAAUUGGUAUCAGAGCUCCGGCUCUGUUAUUGAUUUUCAAAUCAAACACUUAACCGUGUAGAGAGAUCCAGUGCGAGAAAAACAAAUGGCCCACUCAAAUGAGAAAGAUUCUUACAAUGCCAAGCCUCCUGUUUUUGAUGGAGAAAAGUUUGAUUACUGGAAAGAUAGAAUCGAAAGUUUCUUUCUGGGUUAUGAUGCUGACCUCUGGGACAUUGUCACAGAUGGAUACAAACCUCCAACCUUAAAUGGAGCUGAAGUUCCCAGAAGCAAAAUGUCAGAAGAUCAGAAACGUGAGUUCAAAAAUCAUCACAAGGCCAGAACAAUACUUCUAAAUGCUAUAUCAUACAACGAAUACGAAAAGAUCACCAACAGAGAGACGGCUAAAGAUAUACUUGACUCUCUGAAGAUGACCCAUGAAGGAAACUCCCAAGUCAAGGAGACGAAGGCUCUGGCGUUGAUCCAGAAAUAUGAAGCCUUCAAGAUGGAAGAUGACGAAGCUAUAGAAGCUAUGUUUUCCAGAUUCCAAACUCUUAUUGCAGGUCUUAAAGUGCUAGACAAAGGAUACACGACUGCAGAUCAUGUUAAGAAGAUUGUCAGAAGUCUGCCAAAGAAAUGGAGACCUAUGGUUACUGCUCUGAAGUUAUCAAAGGAUCUGAACAGUAUCAGCCUUGAAGAACUUGUUAGUUCUCUCAGAAGCCAUGAGAUAGAACUAGAGGAGGAUGAGCCUCAGAAAAGGAACAAGUCAGUGGCGCUGAAGUCCAGACCUGAAAGACGGAAGUCAGACAGAACCAAAGCUCUCCAGGCAGAAACUGCAGAUACUGACGACUCUGAACCUGAAGACUCUGAUGAUGAAGAAGAACUGUCCUUACUAACCAGAAGAGUUAAGCAACUCUGGAAAAGAAGGAACAACAACAACUUCAGAAGAUCAAGACCCAGAGGGGAUAGAUCAGAGUCAACUUCAAAAGGUAAACCUAAUAAAGAUAUUACCUGUUUUGAAUGUAAAGAAACAGGUCAUUAUAGAAAUGAAUGCCCCAAGCUGAAGAAAGAUAACUCUAAGAAAGAAAGCUUCAAGAAAAAUGCCUUCAGAACAAAGAAGGGAUUAAUGGCCACCUGGGACGAUAGUGAAUCAGGAUCAUCAGAAUCUGACUCUGAUGAACAAGCCAACGUAGCAUUUAUGGCUACCACAUCCAGCAGCUCAGAUGAAGAAUCUGAAGAGGUAUUUUCUGAACUUUCUAGAUCUGACUUAGAAUCAUGUUUAUCAGAAACUCUUACCUCUCUUCAGAAAUUAAAACAAAAAGUUAAAAGCAUUAAAGGCCUUCUUAAAGCAAAAUCUGAAGAAUGUAGUGAACUUGAGACAACAAUUCUAGCACAUGAAGAUACAAUCAAAUCUUUAACGUUAGAAAGAGAUGGAGCUAAAACAAAAAGCUUAAAAUUAGAAGAAGCGUUGUCUCAAGCACCACAAACUUCAAAUGAAAUUAUUUAUAAAUAUGAAGAAGCCUUUCAGAAGUUUCUGAAGAGUGGAAUAGAUAGGAGUAUUAUGGCAUCCAUGAUUUAUGGAGUAAGUCAGAAUAAUAAAAGGGGAAUUGGGUAUGAUUCUGAUUCUGAUAAAACUUCUACCAGUAACCAAAUUAAAUCACCUUUUUCAUACCACUAUACACACACACAAGAACACAAAUUUAAAAAUGCUAGAAGACCCAAAGUUGUAAGAAACUCUGGGAAAACUAAUCUGAAAGGACCCAAGAGAUUCUGGGUACCGAAAGAUAAGAUUAUCUAUGUUGCAGAUAUCCUAUGCAGCAAAGUUCAGACACCAGUCAUGGUACCUGGACUCUGGAUGCUCGCGACAUAUGACGGGAAGAAAGUCUAUGUUCCAAAGCCUGGAACUUAAAGACGCUGGCUUUGUAGGCUUCGGAGGAGAUCAGAAAGGAAGGAUCAGAGGCUCCGGAACUAUUGGUAAUGGUACUCUUCCCUCUAUAUCUGAUGUUCUUUAUGUAGAAGGAUUAAUGCAUAACUUGUUAUCCAUAAGUCAAUUAAGUGAUAACGGUUAUGAUGUAAUCUUUAAUCAAAAAACGUGUAAAGCCAUUAAUCAGAACGAUGGCUCUGUCCUUUUCACAGGCAAGAGGAAAAACAACAUUUAUAAAAUAAAUCUUUCUGAUUUAAAAGAUCAAAAUGUUAAAUGUUUAAUGUCAGUUCACGAAGAGCAAUGGGUAUGGCAUAGACGCUUAGGCCACAUUAGCAUGAGAAAACUUUCUCAGCUAACUAAACUUGAGUUAGUCAGAGGCUUACCUAAACUGAAGUUUUCUUCAGAUGCUCUGUGUGAAGCUUGUCAGAAAGGAAAGUUUUCAAAAACAUCUUUUAAAAAGAAAAAUGUUGUUUCUACCUCCAAGCCUCUGGAGCUUCUUCACAUUGACUUAUUUGGUCCUGUGAAAACAGCAUCAGUCAAUGGAAAGAAGUAUGGACUAGUAAUCGUUGAUGAUUACAGCCGCUGGACAUGGGUAAAAUUCCUAAAGCACAAGAGUGAGUCUCACUCUGUAUUCACCAGUUUCUGUUCUAAAGUGCAAAAAGAAUUUGACUCUAAAAUUGUUAGAGUCAGAAGUGAUCAUGGUGGAGAAUUUGAAAAUAAAGAUUUUGAAGAAUUAUUUGAUUCUAAUGGAAUAUCCCAUGAUUUCUCCUGCCCUAGAACUCCACAACAAAAUGGAGUUGUAGAGAGGAAGAAUAGGACACUCCAAGAAAUGGCCAGAACCAUGAUCAAUGAAACAAAUGUAGCAAAGCACUUUUGGGCAGAAGCUGUAAAUACAGCGUGUUACAUUCAGAAUAGAAUCUCUAUUAGACCUAUUCUGGAUAAGACUCCCUAUGAACUGUGUAAGGGAAGAAAACCCAACAUUUCAUAUUUUCAUCCUUUUGGAUGCAUUUGCUUUAUAUUAAAUACUAAAGAACAUCUGAACAAGUUUGAUUCCAAAGCACAGAAAGGUAUUAUGUUAGGAUACUCAGAACGCUCUAAAGGCUACAGAGUAUACAACACAGAAACCAAAAUUGUGGAGGAAUCAAUUCAUGUUAGAUUUGAUGAUAAGCUUGACCCUGAAAAGUCAAAGCUAGUUGAAAAGUUUGCAGAUUUAGAGAUCACUCUGGUAGAAUCUGAGAAAACUCCAGAAGCAACUGUCACUCCAGACUCUGAAGAAAUUAAAUCUCCAGAAAUUCCAAGGAAAGUCAAGAGUCGUAGCAACGUAUCUGAAGAUUUGAUUUUGGGAAACAAAGAUGAACCUGUUAGAACCAGAUCUACCUUCAGAACUUCUGAAGAUAUUCCUCUGGGACUAGUGUCUCUGAUUGAGCCUACGUCCUGUGAUGAAGCUCUUCAAGAUAACGAUUGGGUGGCAGCUAUGCAAGAAGAGUUAGAUCAAUUCUCCAAGAAUGAUGUCUGGGAUCUCGUUCCUAAACCCAGAGGCACUCAUGUCAUUGGAACCAGAUGGGUUUUCAGAAACAAACUGAACGAGAAAGGAGAAGUUGUCAGAAACAAAGCACGACUGGUAGCUCAAGGUUAUAGUCAACAAGAAGGUAUUGAUUAUAAUGAAACUUUUGCUCCAGUCGCAAGGUUAGAAUCUAUUCGUCUUCUUGUAUCUUUUGCUAUUAAUCACUCUAUCAAAUUAUACCAAAUGGAUGUCAAGAGUGCAUUUCUUAAUGGUUAUAUUUCAGAAGAAGUGUAUGUCAAUCAACCUCCAGGUUUUGAAAAUUCAAACUUUCCAGAACAUGUUUUCAAACUUAAGAAAUCCUUAUAUGGACUUAAACAAGCUCCCAGAGCUUGGUAUGAACGCUUAAGUAAUUUUCUUCUGGAACAAAAUUUUAUCAGAGGGAAAGUUGAUUCUACACUCUUCUGUAAAAAUCAUAAAAAUGAUCUCAUGAUAUGCCAAAUUUAUGUUGAUGACAUUAUUUUUGGUUCUGCUAAUAUCUCUGUUUGCCAAGAAUUUUCUAAGUUAAUGCAGGCAGAAUUUGAAAUGAGUCUAAUGCAAGAACUAAAGUUCUUUCUGGGAAUUCAAAUUAAUCAAACUCCAGAAGUCACGUACAUUCAUCAAAGCAAGUACAUUAAAGACGUUCUGAAGAAGUUUGAUAUGUCUGAAUGCAACUCUGCAAAGACUCCUAUGCACCCAACUUGCAUUCUGGAAAAGGAAGAGGUAAGCAACAAGGUUUGUCAGAAGCUCUAUCGAGGUAUGAUAGGCUCUCUUCUCUAUCUGACUGCUACUCGUCCUGAUAUUCUCUUUAGCGUCUGUCUUUGUGCCAGAUUCCAAUCAGAUCCUAGAGAAUCUCAUUUAACAGCUGUUAAGAGAAUUCUUAAGUAUCUGAAAGGAACUCCUAACCUGGGCCUGAUGUAUGAGAAAACAUCAGAGUAUAGGCUUUCUGGUUAUUGUGAUGCAGAUUAUGCAGGAGAUAGAAUAGAACGAAAAAGCACAUCUGGAAAUUGCCAGCUUCUGGGAAACAAUCUAAUCUCCUGGGCUAGCAAAAGACAGUCAACUAUCGCUCUAUCAACUGCAGAAGCAGAAUAUAUCUCAGCAUCACUGUGCACAACUCAGAUGCUCUGGAUGAAACAUCAGCUAGAAGAUCUUCAAAUCUUUGAGAGUAACAUUCCUAUCCUUUGUGAUAAUACUGCUGCUAUUUGUUUGAGUAAGAAUCCUAUUUUACAUUCCAGAGCCAAACACAUAGAAAUUAAACAUCAUUUUAUUAGAGACUAUGUUCAGAAAGGAAUAGUAACGCUGAAGUUCAUUGAUACAGAACAUCAAUGGGCAGAUAUCUUUACUAAGCCUCUAGCUGAAGAUAGAUUUCUUUUCAUCUUAGAAAAUCUGAACAUUAAAAAUUGUCCUGAGUAAAAUUUGGCUCUGAACAUGUAAAAUGAGACUCUGAUAAAAACAAAUACACUUCUGCCUCUGACUCUGAUACUUCUACCAAGUUAAGAAGAUAUCUGAGUUAGAAAUCUUCAGAAAUCCUUUGGUAUUCCUGAAGAUCAGAUACAUCAACACGUGGGGAACAUGCGUCUAACCCUAGAACUUCUAGACAGCUGUCAAAAGAAAUCAAAGGUCAGAACGCUUGAAAUCUCCUCGAGCAGUGUGCUUACUGUUGGGAUUAGACAUUCAUUAAUUAGCUAUAAUCAUUUUUCCCCCAAACGUGCUAUUUUGGUUUUUGUGCUAACGCUGGUAUGUGUGUCGUUUUGCAUGUGUUUUUACCCUUAGUAUAUAAACACUUUCUCUCACUUUUCACACUUAUCACUCUCACUCACUCUAAAACCCUAAACCCUUCUCUGAAAGUUCUCUGCAAGUUCUUCAUCUUCUUCAAUCUCCAUCAUCUUCAUCAACAUGGACGCUCAACAACAAGAACUCUUCAACCAUUCUCAACAAGUGGAAUCUAGUUCCAAUCCCCAAACCUCAAACACUCAAACACCCACGGUUAUAAGCGUCACCACAACCCCAGUUUACAAAGAACCUCACAUUCUUGACCGUGAACAACACAUUCAUCUUUCAACUCCCUUUGAAGGUUUGGAUGUACUGUGUGAAUCGCUGGUGGAUUUUGAGAAUUUGAGAAGAAAUGGCGUUGAUUUAACUGAAGAUCUUCGCAAGCAAGGUUGGGAAACCUACUUCAACAGAUUGUAUGGUCCAAUCUAUCCUCUUCUGGUGAAAGAAUUCUGGAGAUGUGCAGAUGCUGAUGAUGAGUUCAUUGUUUCUUUUGUUCUGGGAGUGAAGAUCAUCAUCACAGAAGCAUCUAUUGCCUCUUUGCUGAACAUGGAGAGAACUGGAGGUAAAAGGAUUUACAACAUUCCUCCAAGGUCCAAGCGCAUCACAGAAGUCAUUAACCCUACAAUCUUCAAAGCAAAUGUUGAAGGAAACCCAUCUAAGAACAAGGAGCUUCAUCAGAACCUCCGAGUUUGGCUGAAGAUUAUUCUGGGAACAAUCCAUCAUCGUCCAGCCUCCAACUCUUCAGAUUAUAUAAAUGCUGAUCAGAAAUGCAUCCUCUACUGUAUUCAGAAGGGUAUUCCAAUCAACCUCCCUGUUCUCCUCUUCAGAUAUCUGAGGGAUUCAGUCAGAGAAACAAGGAAUAAUAUGAAGCCCAGAUCCUACAUUCCUCUGGGAAGAUUGCUCUCUGACAUCUUCAUUGAGCAUGGGCUGGUAGAUGCUCUGGAGAAGACCAGAUGUAUGGAUGAUCUGGCAAUUGACGUUGGAAAGCCUCUGAAUGCCAAAAAUCUGAGGAGUAUGGGAAUCAUCAAAGACAUCAGAGUCAAGCCCACUAUGAAUGUAACCUGGGAAGCUCUGAAGGAUCAGAGGAAGAUGCCUCAUGGCCUUGAAAGGUUCUUCAAGAAUGAACCCAGAGAUGCCAUUGCUAUCUACCUUCAGGAUCGUCUGGAUGAAGGCAUUGAUAUCUCUGAUUUCCGCCUUGAAGACUGUCUGGACUCUGUAGAAGAUCUGGUCAGAUACAAAAGAGGUCUUUCUGAGAAGAAGAUAGCUGAGGAAGCAAGGAAGGCAAAGAAAGCCAGACUUGGAGAAACCUCUGGCACCAAAGCUUCAGCACCUCUGAAUGUCUCCUCUGGUAAGUCCAUUCCUCCUGUCUCUUCUGAAUCUGUAAUGGCUUCCUCUAACCCUCUCUCCUCUCAACCAAUAUAUACCACCGCUGAAAUACCACCUUCAACCAUCAGAACCUCUCAACCUCCACCUGUUCUAAAAAUUGCUCGUAAUUUCACAACAACCUCUGACCCUAAUCAACUAUAUCACCACAGCUCUUCCUCAUCCUCUGAAUAUGAAUCACCCCCUUACCUUUCCCCUUCUUCUGACCAAGAGUUCUCUGAACAAGAGUCCUCUGACCAAGAACACUCUGACCCAAACUCCCCAACAAUAGCUGAAAUUUAUGCUAAAAAUUUCGCUCCACAACCCUCAAGACAAUCUGAAGUAACCUCUCCCCUCCAAACUUCACUUCCACCACAACAAACAACAACCUUACCCUCUGAAACUCAACCAUCUGAUCCCUUCACCUCUAAUAUCACUCCACCAUUUAUUCCCGCUGUACCUGGACCAGACUCUGACCCUUUAGACCUAAAUCCACUAUAUGCUUCAUCCCCUAGUCUUCAACCAGACGCAGAUUCUGAACUUCAAGCAGAAUCUGAACCUCAACAAACUGAACCUCAACCUCUAAAUCUCAGCCCUCAAAACUCUCCACCUCAUUCACCUGAACCUGAACCUGAACUUACCAUACCUACCCUUGAGGAGGCCAUUAUACAGGUUGCAGAAGCUUCAGUCCAGAAGAUCAAGUCUCUGGCUAAAAACUCUGAAGUUAGUGAUGAUCCUAAAUCUGUUAGGACACACUGGAACAGAGUCAUUAGUUGGAUGACCUCUGAGUCUUAUAGGCUGAAGAGUAUCUCUGAACAAGUCAGAAAUGGCUACAUCAGAGACUCUGAGGAAAGACUCCAAGAGAGACUGGCUAGAGAAGCUGAGGCCAGAAGGUUAGAGGAAGAGAGACUGGCUAGAGAAGCUGAGGCCAAGAGAUUAGAGGAAGAAAGAUUGGCUAGGGAAGCUGAAGAAGAAGCUAAGAGGUUGGAAGAAGAACGCCUGGCAAAGGAAGCAGAACUUCUAAGGAUUCAGGAAGCUGAAGCCAAGGCUAAGGCAGAUGCAGAAGCCCAAGCUGCUGCUGAAGCUGAAGCUCAGCAGGCUCUGAUUCAGGGGGAGUCUUCCUCUGCGAUCCCUCUGAUUCUUAACACUCUGAAGGAGAUCAAGCAAGAUCAGAAAGAGAUCAAGCAAGAUCAGAGUGAGCUCCGGGCAAGGAUGGACAAGCAAGACGCUCUGAAUGAAAACCUCCAGAAUAUGUUUGCUAUGCUACUACAGAGACUUCCUCCUCCUCCAAACCCUUAGGCACUUAGGAUUUCUUUUGUUUGCCUAGUGUUUUUGCUUCUGUCUUUUCUUUUUUUUCUCUGAUAUUUCUGUUGAAUCUGAUGUUUUGACUGCUGCUUGCCUUUGUGCUUUUGUUUAAUGAAGUGUUUUUCUCUCUAUUAUUUUUUUUAUGUUUUAUGCCUUUUUGAUUAUGCCAAAAAGGGGGAGAAAUUAUUAAAUAGCUCUGAUGAAAAUUAUGUCUAAAACCUUAAGCAUUCUGCAACAAUUAUAGAAAUAGUUCUGAUAUAAAUAGCUCUGAUUAAAUAAUAGCUCUGAUUAAAUAACUCUAACAUUAAAAUUAAGAAAUUGCAGAAAGUUUUCAGAAAUCUCAUUGCUUGGAAAGCUCUGGUAAGAACUUCUGAACUCCCUAGUACUAACUCAGGGGGAGCUUUUGUCUAUCUGAUCUAAUAUUUUUCAUGUUUCAUCUGAUAAUUUUAUUUGUUUUGUCAUCAUCAAAAAGGGGGAGAUUGUAAGAACAAAAAUUGUUCUACAACAGAUUCCAUGAUUUUGAUGAUAACAAAGGAUGAAACCAAAAAUGGCACCCUAACGAAAAGUUUCUAAGUGUGCAGGGUUCUAAAGAAAGAAGAAAUAAAUCUGAUGAUGUCAUCAGAUGCAAAACAAGAUCAGAUGCAAAAUCUCAAGUAUCAGAAGCAUCUAAAGAGGAAUCUCGUUUCAAGAAGCUCUGACUCUGGACAAAACUACAAAGUAUCAGAAGCAUCUGAACAUGAAGUAAAGUCUAGAAGCUCUGACUCUGAACAAAUGCCUUCUGUAAAUUCUGAAGUUAUCAGCGCCAUCUGAACUUUCAAGAGAUAACAUCAGAAGCCAGUUUCUCCAGAUACACAAAGACUCUAAUCAGAAUUGUUAAUCAUGAUGAAGUAACGUUUAAGCCAAGUUAAAGUUCUGCAAAUGGAUUUCCUCAAUUAGAAAGAGACGUUAAUCUCCACUUCCAAGAGAGAAGAUACUAAUUGUGGUAAGUAGUCACUUCUAAGAGAAAAAGUCUACUGCAGAAGCUAUUAAUGGAAUGGCGUAACUACAUCUCAAUAUCCAACAGAUUCAACGCUACUUCAACUCUACUUCAACUCCUAUAAAUAGAGAAGAAAUCUCAUUCAGUAAACACGAAGAAAUCACUAGCCAAAACUAUACUGAAAUCAUAUCACGCUCAAGAAAAACAUCUUUGUUCUUCAAAGAUUUUCACUAAGCUUUUGCUUAUCAAGUGAAAAAUUUGUUCUUAAGUUUGUAAUAUUUGCUUUCUUAGAAGCACUCUAGAUUACACAUCUUGUAUCUAAUUUUUAUUUGAUUUCCUCAAGUGACUCUUUGUAGUCUGUAGACUUGAGAGGACUAAGAGAUUUUCUUCUCUCUUAGGGGUUGUUUGUAAUCUUUCAAGAUUAGUGGAUUAAGUCCUUGUUGAAGGCGAAAUCACCUUGGCCGGGUGGACUGGAGUAGCUUUGUGUUAUAAGCGAACCAGUAUAAAAUCUUUGUGUGAUUUCAUUUUGCAAAAGCGCUUAUUUUUCAAACAAUUCAAACCCCCCUUUCUUGUUUUUCUCACCUUCAAGUUUCACAAUUCUUUGAUGAACUAAAAUGCAAUUGAGGACUCCGCGUCUUUGAGUCAUAAAUCAUGGAGACUCAUAAUGCGUCCAAAAAUGCAUAUCCAAAAUUUAAGUGGCAUUUUCAAAUUUUUAUAGGAUGGUUUUCCAACACUUAUGUAGAGAUAAACAAUUUCGUAAUUAAAGGUCUCUAAGAGGAGUUGAAAUAAAUAUAUUUAAAAAAUUAGUAACAUAAUUAUUUAAGGAAUAAAGUUUUCUAACCAAAAGAAUUUUUCCCUAAUUUUUUUGUGCCUAAUUUAUUUUGCUAACAAAGUAAAGCCCUGAUUAUUGUUACUAAAUUUUAGUAAUUUUCAUUCAUCUCUCAAUUAAUAUCUCUUAUAAUCCUCAUUAACUCUCAAUUAAUGUAAUUCAUAUCUAUCAAAAAAAAUUGAAAAUUUUGUAUCUAGGCUUGGGACCAACUAGUUUAGUGAAUUGCUAAUUUCAUCUUAAGUGUUGGAAAUAUGCCCUAUAAAAUUUUGAAAAUACCCUUUUGAAUCCGAAAAUGCAUCUUCGAACGCACCUUACGCCUCACUAAAACACACCUCAACUUGUUGAUGUUUUUUAUGUAAUUCAAGUGAUGUAACCAGUUAUCUCGGGUAGGUAACCGGUUACAUAAAUGUCUAAAGUUCAAUCAAGUAGCAAAAAUGUGGAGUUUUUGAAGGUGUAACCGGUUAACCAUUUUGGUGUAAACGGUUACCACAAAAGCUGAUUUAAUUCAAUGUCAGGUGUAACCGAUUAUCCAUUUUUGUGUAACAUUACAAGCGUAAUAUUUUGAUUUUUCCUGCUAUUUUACUUGGUCAAUUCAGUUCCCAAUUGUGUUGUAUCUCUUGUAUAAGUGUUUAGAAUGCACACUCAUCUAAGGUUAAUGCAAUAAUAAUCUCUCCCCCUUAAUUCUCCUCUUUCACACUCCACAUCCAAAGUAUCUCCAUCAUUGUUCACCAAACUUGUGGUCUCUUGUUCCAAAAUUUGACAUCAAGAGUCUGGUUCAGAUCCACAAACACCUAGUGUGCAACAUGAAUUAUGUUUCCAAUGAAAGAAUUCCUGCAAACCUACCUAUCUUUGAUGCGAAGAAUUAGGAUAAACGGUGCAAGGAAAUGAAGAUGUUGUUUGGAUACCAAGAUGUUCUUAAAGUAAUCAAUAAGGAUGUUACUCCUCUUAUUCAAAAUGAAACAGAGGCGCAACAAGCAACACAUAAGGAAGAGAAGAAGAAAUAGUUCAAUGUGUUGAUGGCGAUGAUUUUAAGAAAGUUGAUGAUUGUGAAUCGUCAAAGUAAGCGUGAGAGAUCUUAGAGAAGGCAUGUGCAUGGGUUGACAAGGAAAAGGUGGUGAGGUUACAAACUCAUAAACGUCAGUUUGAAUUGAUUCAAAUGGAGGAAAAGGAGAUAAUCAAUGAUUUUGCAAUGAGAAUCACUCGGUUGGUGAAUCAAGUGAAGGCAUGCAAAGAAACUGUUACGGAGUUGUAUGUUGCUGCUAAAAUCUUGUGUUCUUUAACACCAAGAUUUAACAGUAUAGUUGUGGCAAUUGAUGAGUCAAAGGAUCCCGCGACGAUGAGCAAAGAGGAGUUGCAAAGUUCUCUUGAGGCUCAUGAGAAAAAGAUGGAAAAGAGGAAUAACGAUAAGGCAAAGGCGGAGAUUGCUUUGCAAGCUCGUUUCAAUGAGAAGGACAAGAGAUCGAAAGGAAAAUGGCCCAAGAAAAGAAAAGGGAAUUUUCAUAAUUUGGGUGGAAGAGAGUCCUAAAAUUCAAAUGAUUUGACUUGUCAAAGGGGUGAGAGCAGCUACAAUAAACAUGGUGGUCAAGGAAACUUUAGAGGUAGAAGGAAGAAGUUUGAUAAGAGCAAGGAGAUGUGCUAUAAGUGUCAAUGGUUCGUUCAUUUUGCAAAAAAAUACAAUGUGAACAAGAAAGAAUCUCAAGGGAUUAAACCAAGGUUGCAAGAUAAGAGUUUGAUGAAGAGAAUAUAAUUUUGGUCAUGAUCAAAGAAGGGAAUUAUAGCAGCAAACAACUGUGGGACAACAGCGGCAAUAAAUCAAAGAAUGCUAAAAAGGUCGGUUGAAUGAUACGAUUAACCGAUCGCAUGAAGAGGAAGAUACCAUGAUGAGUUUGAAAGGAGUUCAAUGUAGUGAUGAGUGGUAUUUGGACUUGGGUUGUUCAGCUCAUAUGACAGGAAUAAAGGAUUGGUGUGUCAAAAUCAAUCGUGCCAUGAAGAAUAAACUAAAGUUUGCAGAUGAAACCACCCUAAUGAUCGAUGGGAUCGAUGAUGUUUUGAUCAUGAGAAGGGAUAAUGGACAUUACUUAAUCACAAAUUCUUGUACAUUUUUGGAAUCAAAUUUAACCUUCUAAGUAUUGGCCAAUUGCUUGAGAAGGAUUCCAAGAUUCACAUGGAAGACAAUGGGUUGUGCGUUAUGGAUAUAAGAGGAGGCUUGGUCCUUAAAGCGCAUAUGGCUGCCAAUAGAACCUUUAAGGUUGAGUUGAAGGUUAUAGAGUAUAAAUGUCUUGCUACUACAUCAAGUAGACAACAGUGGAUAUGGCACUAUCGUCUUAGACAUCUCAAUUUUAGAGAUCUCAAAGACUUUCAAAAGAACAUAAUGGUAACAGGGCUGCCAUUGAUCAACAUACUAGCUGAAAUUUGUGAAGAAUGUGUGCAAGUGAAGCAACAUAAGGGAAAAUUGAGCAAGUAGACUCUAUUGGUGGAAAUAUGUAUUUUGUCACAUUUAUCGAUGAUCAUAGUACAAAACUAUGGACAUACCUAAUCAAGAUAGAUGACAAUGUAUUUCAUGAUCGUCCGUCAUUGCAUAUAUUUAGUCGAAGAAUCAGACAAAACAAGUGAAAGUUAAGAUAAAAUGAAGAAGAAUAAGGAAAAAAUAUCUAAGCAUGGAAACUGGGGACUUAUUGAAAUUUUGAGUAAAAAAGGGAGCAAAAGUGUGCAACCACUGGAAUAAUCAUGCGCACCAUCACGUAGCAUCGUGCACACAAUGGGGUCUUUAAAGUUGCAUCGCGCAUGCGAUACAAGGAAUCACGCGCGUGAUAAAUACUUUUUAUGGGCUUUUCAGACGCGUUCUGGUCCAUUCUAACGCCUUUAAAAGGGGAUUUUCUGAACUUUCACAAGAGUUACAAAAUUGGGAGAUCUAGGCACUACUUUGAGAGCACAAGUGGUGAUUUUUAUAACAUUAGAAGUUAUUGGAGACCAUUACUUCAACGUAUUUCACAUGUUAUUUUCAUCUAUCAAUUAUGAUAUUUUUAAUUGCAUUAUGAGUAGCUAAGCUCCUCUAGAUUAGGUUGUAUACUGAUGAACCUAUUUCUAUAUUGUUGGAAUCUAUGUUGAUUUAACAAUUGUGUGAACCUUUUGAACUAUAAUUCCAUUCAAUUGCUUCUUGUUCAUAAUGCUUUUUAUGUGAGAUGAUAUUUUAAUAUGAUUUUGGGAACAUAAGGAAUACUGACCAUUAGUCUAUGUGUUGGACCUAGGGAAAUUGUUGUACUUACGCUGGUUGAAUAGGAAUAGGAGACCCUGAGUAGUGGCGUAGAGAAUUAACGCUUUAUACAUCGCCUAACCCUGCUUACGCUGGAGGACUAAGGAUAAAAAGCUCUGAGUGGUGGUUAGUGAGUUAUUUCAUGAGGGAUCAACUAUAACAGUUUUGUUAAUUCGUCGUGGUGUUAUAGUGAUAAGACCAUUCGUACAAGACAUCAAACAUCAACAAUAGAGGAAUAUGAGAUUUUAAAACACAACUUGGCCGCUUUCGUGAUAUUGUUUAAUUGUUUAUUUACUUUUUGCACAGAAACUCAACCCCCCCCCCCCCNNNNNNNNNNNNNNNNNCCCCCCCCCCCCUUUACUAGUUUUUUAUAAAUUGCACACAUUUUGUCUUGCUUGAACGAAGUUCACGUGGAUUCGAUCUUUUUAUUACUUCGACGAUGUCAAUACACUUGUCGAGAAGUCAUCAAGUUUUUGGCGCUUUUGCCAGGGACUAUUAAUUUUUCAUCAAGGCGAUGUUUGUGCAAUUUUUUUUAGUCUUUAAAUUUUAUGUUUUAUUUUCUUGUUUCUCAAAAUGCUAUUGAGGUAUUUUCUAUUUGUGUAUGUACCGUUCAGGAUCAACAUUAAUACCAUUGGAUCCAAAAAUUGAAAGAAACGCACAUGCUCUCAGAAAAGCUGUUAGAGGAGCAACUCUGGAAAGAGGAAUACUAGAAGAAGAGUAAUUAUCAAGUUAGUCAUACUCUGAAGAUGAAGCUGUAAUGGCAGAUGCACAACCCCUAACUAUGGGGGAUUAUUAUAAAUGAACCGAUGAAGGACACUUCUCCAGAGGGUUUGUACCGGUAGACCCUUCUAACUUUGAUAUUAAAAAUUAUGUGCUUUAAGGUUUGAGAGAAAAUUUGUUCGGCAGGAACACGAUUAGAGACCUAUGGGUGCAUCUUACACACUUCUAUGAAACAACUUCAAUGUGAAAAUCAAUUGAUGCCACUGAAGACCAGGUUAAAUUGAGGUUGUUUGGGUUCUCACUAAUUGGAAGGGCGAAGAUUGGUUACUUUUCCUCCCGAAUGGAACGAUACGAACAUGAAAGGAAUUAGAGGAUAAAUCCCUGGAAAGAUUUUUCACUACUACUCAGUUUACCGAGCGCUAAGCAGAAAUUGUGAGGUUUGAGCAGUAGGAAAUUGAGUCACUUUAUGACUCUUGGGAAAGAUUCAAACUUUUGUUACGCAGAUGCUCGAAUCACAACAUGAAUAAUAUAGAGCAGAUGCAAAACUUCAUUAAAGGUCUCAAAGUCAAACUCACGUAUUUUUGGAUGCUUCUACGAGAGGUACUAUCUGAAAAAUGAAUGAACCAUGGGUAAAAGAUAUCAUUGAGAAAAUGUGUAUAAUUGAGUACCGAUCCAAGAACGAAAGGUCGAUCAAGAUGGGAACUGUGGGCACGCCUAAAGGUAUGUUACCUAUUGAUACCCACAUUGCUCUUUUAGCUCAGAUUGAAUUAUUAAAUAAAAAGCAAGCUGGAAGAAGCUUAGUUAAAGCUAACGUAAGUCAGGUACAAGCACUUAAAAGCGAUUUAUAUGGAGGAUAACAUGCGAAUGGAAGUUGUUCAUUGGAAGGGACAAGUGAGGAGGUAAAAUUUUAUAAUUUUUAAAAAAAAUAACUUGUAUUCAAACACAUAUAAUCCGGGUUAAAAAGACCACCCAAAAUUCCUUUGGAAUAAUAAUCAAAAUUCAAAUGCUAACUAAGGGAUGCAACAAAGCCAACAAGCUCUGUUUCAAAGAAAUCCAUCACAAAUGGUAGAGACCUUGAAAAUUUUCAUUAAGGUCACUCAAAGUAGCUUUGCUAGGGUAAAUAAGACCCUUGAAGAAAUGAGUAGAAACUAGGAUGCGUCUAUCAAAAUUUUGGAGAUGAAGAUUGGUCAAUUAUCCAGACAAGUAGCUACUUUUCCAAGCUCAAGUGGAGGAUUCACCAGUAACAUUGUUGAUAACCCUAAGAAUGAUAACCCUAAAUAUAGGUUUAGGGGAAAUUACUGAAAAGGAUAAGGAGGAGAUAGUUAAAGAACGUGUGGUUAAGAUAGAUGAGGGUACAAAUCAAGGUGACCAAGAGGAAAGAGGAGACAUCAUUGAUCAACUUAUUGACAAAAAUUCUCCUCGGGGGAGAACAAAGAAGCAGAUCAUGACUGAACCAAAUCCUCCUUUACCAGAUCACGUAAAACCACCGUACCCAAUAAUUAAAAAGAAAGUGGUUUAAGAUGAUGAAGCGAGAAUGUUUGCAAAGUUCAAGGAAAUUCUAGCUACUCUCCGGGAAAGUAUUUCGUUCCAUGAAAUUUUAGAACUAAUGCCUAAGUUUGCUAAAUUUAUGAAGGCGUUACUAAAUGGGACGGAAGAGAAAAGGAUCAAGGAACAUGUAAACAUGACCGAAAAGAAUGAUAUGGUAAAACCUCAAUCCUUACAACCUAAACUAAAAGACUCAAGUAAAUUUAUGAAGGAGUUAUUAAAUGGGACGAAAGAGAAAAGGAUCAAGGAACAUGUAAACAUGACCGAAAAUGAUGAUAUAGUAAAACCUCAAUCCCUACAACCUAAACUAAAAGAAUUAGGUAAGUUUACUAUUUCCUAUAAUAUUAGUGGAUUCAAUAUUCUGCAUGCUCUAUGUGAUAUGGGAUCUAACAUAAAUGUCAUGCCACCGAAAACUGUCAAAGAAUUAAAAGUGGGUGAGAUCACACCGAGUAACAUGACUCUCAGUCUAGUUGAAUUGUCUAUUACUCAUUCAAUUGGUACUUUACGCGACAUAUUAGUACCUAUCGACGACUUAUUGUUUCCUAUAGAUUUUAUAGUGCAUGAUACAAAAGAAGAUUCGGGAGGAUCUAUUAUUCUUGGACAUCCAUUCUUGGCAAUCGGGAAAGCAAAAGAUUGAUGUGUAAACUGGUCAACUUAUCUUGAAGUCAAAUAAAAGGAAUGUGGUUUUCAAGGUAUAUGACUGGACACCUUAUGUGGAUAAUUUGGAUACUUUCUACUAUCUGGAUGAAAAAGGUAGGAAAGUAGAUAAAGGAACAAUGAGAAAGAAAGUGACAGGCGUGAGGGUGUCCCUUGCGCCUGACGUACCUUAGACAUGGAUUAUCAAGCUAGUGAUGUUAAAAAAGUGUUUGAUGGGAGGCAACUCAUCAAUAAGAAUUUAUUUUUUUAUCAUAGUGAAUAUUAAUUUUUCUAACCUUGUUAAUUUUUGUGCUAUGUUAUUGGAAGAGAAAAUAGGUGAAAGAAGAAAAGAAAGAAAAAGCAAAAGGGAAGAAAAUAGAAAAAGAAAAGAGAGAGGAAAGUUUCAUCCCCCAGAAUCAUCACGUAUGAUAAUAUAAACUAGUUCUUUACAAUAAUAAAAUUUGAUAUUUAUUUAUACAAACACAAUUAUAUAAAGAGAAUAACACACAAAUCACACAUGAUAAUUUUAGAAUAAUUAUACUCUAAUAUUUUUUGAGUCGUGAUAUAUCCUCUUCUUAAAUAUUUGAAAGUUGAAUCUCUCUCACUAAUCUCUAUUCCCCUAUUUAUUUUAAGAAUAAACAUAUUGAAUUAAUAAAACAUAAUUGCACCUUUCUUAAAGGUUAUACAAACAACUACUAAAGUUGAAAAAACUAAAGAGAGGUCAACUCAAUCUUUAUCAAAUUAAAUUAAAGUUUAUUAUAAAACACAAACAACUAGUUCAUUCAAAUGAUAACUUGUUUAGUACACAAGUAAGAUCUUACUUAAUACAUAGAAAUAAGAUCUUACAGAAUAUAGAGAUUAAAAACAUAGGAAUAACAUGAAAAGCUUUUAAAAUGACAUAGACAUUGAUUAACAAAGAUAUGAACUAGUUUCGGGUAUUUCUUAACCAUCCGUCAAGGUAAACUUGUUUGGAGUCAGGGGUGGAUUUUGCUUUCUCGACUCGGAUAUCUUUCAACCAUCCAUCAAGGUAAACCUGGUUGUUGUCAGAGGUGGAUUUUACUGUCUCGGCUCGGAUAUCUUUCAACCAUCCAUCAAGGUAAACUUGUUUUGGAUCAGAGGUGGAUUUUGUUUUCUCUGCUCGGGUAUCUUUCAACCACCCAUCAAGGUAUACUUGGUUGGAGUCAGGGGUAGAUUUUAUUCUCUCGUUUCGAUAAUCUUUCAACCAUCCAUCAAGGUAAACUUGGUUGGAGUCAGACAUGGUUUCUGUUUGCUUUGCUCGAGUAUUUUUCAACCAUCCAUCAAGGUAAACUUGGUUGGAGUCAGAGGUAGAUUUUUCUUUCUCAGCUCGGGUAUCUUUUAACCAUCCAUCAAGGUAAACUUGUUUGGAGUCAAGAUUUUUCUUUCUCAGCUCGGGUAUCUUUUAACCAUCCAUCAAGGUAAACUUGUUUGGAGUCAGAGGUGGAUUUUGUUUUCUCUGCUCGGGUAUCUUUCAACCAUCCAUCAAGGUAAACUUGAUUGGUGUUAGGCAUGGACUUUUCUUUCUCAACUCUGAUAUUUUUCAACCAUCCAUCAAGAUAAACUUGGUUGGAGUCACUUGUAGAUUUUGUUUUCUCAACUCGGGUAUCUUUCAACCAUUCAUCAAGGUAAACUUGGUUGGAUUCAGAGGUGGAUUUUGCAUUCUCUGCUCUGGUAUCUUUCAACCAUCCAUCAAGGUAAACUUGGUUGGAGUUAGGUGUUGACUUUUCUUUCUCAACUCUGCUAUCUUUCAACCAUCCAUCAAGAUAAACUUGGUUGGUGUCACCUGUAGAUUUUGCUUUCUCAGCUCGAUUAUCUUUCAACCAUCCAUCAAGGUAAACUUGGUUGGAUUCAGAGGUGUCUUUUGCUUUCUUUGCUCUGGAAUCUUUCAACCAUCCAUCAAGAUAAACUUGAUCGGAGUUCUGGGAGGAUUUGGUUUUCUCUGAUCGUGUAUCUUUCAACCAUCCAUCAAGAUAAACUUGGUUAGAGUUAGCAAUGUGUUUUCGACUCUUCAAUGGAUUUUUGAGCCAACCAUCAAGGUAAGGUUGAUCAGCUUGUAUUUCUUGUACAUUCUCUUGCUGAAGUUUGAUAUAUCGGGCAAAGCUUCCUUGUCCAUUCUAUAAUACAAUUGAAUAAAUGGAUAUUAGUGAGUUAUUUUUGGAUGGUAUAUAUGAUUACAAAAACAAAAUUAUGUGUUUUAUGAGACACAUUAUGUUACAUAAAUAAGACACAUUCAUUGUAUAUUUCAGAUGGAUAUAGAAUGCGAAAUAAAAAUCAAAGAAAAACAAUUUUUUAAAUUUCAUUGCCGCAUAGAAAAUAUUAUUUUGUCAAAUUAAAUAGAACAACUUGAUUAAGUGAAUGAUGAAAUCAAAUCAAAUAAAGAUGCAAAAUGAUAGAUUGUGAUAAAUAAAUGAUGAAAAAUAUAUGUGUAAAAGAUACAAGAAUGGAUGCAUAACUUACAAUCAAUAAGAGCAUGAUAAAAGGGAGGAGAGACAAAACAUCUUUGUUUGUCAUUUCUUUAAUGUUAUGAUUUUGUGGGAAAAUUGUUUUAAUGUAAAAAGAUGUAUUGAAAUGGAAGUGAAUUGUGCUAUUUAUAAGUGAAUGAAAAGAAAAACUACAUUAAGGACAUUGAGACUUUGGUUGGCAAGAUUAUUUUUUUAAAUAUUUAGUUUAAAUUAUUUUUUAAAUGUUUAGUUUAAUUGAUAAGUUUAUAUGUCUAAGAAAGAUCAAUUUACUAAGAUUUAUUAUUUACAAGAUCUAUUAGGUGUGUUGUUUUGAGUUAUAAAAAAUAUUAAAAAAAUUGUUUGUUUGAUAUAUUUUUUUAAUUAGAAGCUCCUAACUAAAUCCUCUUAGUUUAAAAUAAAUAAAUUUUAGAACUGCUACUGCAAUUAUUUUUAUUUUAAAAUUAAAAAUGAUUUUCUAAAAAUCCUUAAUAAAAACAUAUUAAAAUGACAAAGGUGAUUUUGUUAAAUGUUAAACAAACAUUUAUUUUGAUAAGUUAUUUCAAAUAACUUAAAAUUUCAUAAAUUUAUUUUAAUUUAUAAUUAAAGUGGUAAUUAUGAUAAUCUCGCCUCUUGAGUUCUAAUAUUUGAGCUAAUAGUAUAAAUAUGUUUUAGUUGAAUUAGAAUUUGCAUUAGUGAUAGUUUCAAUUUUACAAUUAAUUAGACUAAAAUAUUGAUGUUCGUCAUAUAUAUAUAUAUAUAUAUNUAUAUAUAUAUAUAUAUAUUAAAUAGUAAUUAUAUAUUAUAAAUUUUAAUUUUGGGAAAAAAAUAUUAUUUCAAUAUUUUAAAAUUUUAAUAAUUAUUGUUUUAUAAAAUUAAUUAUAAUGAGUAUAAUAUUUUAAUUUUAUUAUCAUCAAAUAUACCCUACAUCAAAAUUCACAAACUUUAAAUAUAAAUAUCGGGAUCCACUUAAUUGAAUUGGAAUUUAAACAUCAAAAUUUAGACAAAUGUUAAAUUUUGAAGCACUUGGUUUUUGAAUCAUGACUCUUCUACAACCAACUCCUAGGGACUUACUACAUAGCCAACAAUGAAUCCAAAAUAGUUUCACAAGAAACACUAAAAUACUGUGUUGGCCUUUGCAUGUUUAAGAUGUUCACAUGUAGCUGGGGUUUGCGUGCUUAUGAGCUUACCUAAUAGUAAGUUAAAAAAACAAUAUAUUAUUAUACUGACCAGUCUAAAGAGAAAUAGAUAAGUUACUGUAUUUGUUAUUAUAAUCAAAUAUUAUCUAAAAAAGAAAUAAAUUAUAAGGAAUAUGUUUUCAUUAUUUUUAUCUUUAUUUAAAGAAUAUAAAUAUUUUUUAAUUAAUGAUAAAUAAUUGAUUUUAAAUGUGAUUACGGUUUAUAUCUUUAUCUAAGAAAAUAAAUGAUAAAAUGUGAAUACUCAUAUCUAAAAUUAAAUAUUUAUCCAAUUAUGUAGGCCAGCCUCAUAUUUAUUGUAAAAAUUUUAACAAAGUUUAAAAUAAUGAAAAUUAGAAUAAUGGUAUUCCUACAUUAAAUCUUACAUCAAAUACUUACAUUAAAUAUUUUUUACCGUAUUUAAACGAUGAAUAAUAUUUUUAUUUUUAAUAAAAAAAUAUUUAUAUAAAAAUGUUUUUAUUUUUAAAAUUAUUUUUAUAAUAAAAAUAUAAAAUUUAUCACAAAAUAAUUUUAUUAUCGUAUUAACUAUAAAAAUAUAGGUUAUAAAUCACAUAUUUCACUUAUAAUUCAUUAACCAGUAAAAUACAUAAUAUUAAUCAAAUUAUGAUAUUAAAAUAUGAAAUAUAUAAUUUGCUUAAUUAUUAUAUUUUAUAUUUUAAUGUCACAAUUUAUUUAUAUUAUUUAUUUUAUUAAUUGAAUAUAAUAAUAAGUAAAAUAUAUGGUUAAUCAUCUAUAUUUUUAUGAUUAAUACAAUAAUAAAAUUGAUUAGUGACAAAUUUUAUAUUUAUAUUACAAAAAUAAUUAUAAAAAUAUAUCAAAAACGAGUUUAAGACAACGUAGGAAAAAGUGAAGUGACACUCAAAUAUUAUUUGCUCAUUAAGCAAUCAGUUAAAAUUAAAGUGAAUUAACGAAUUAAGCAUAAAGUUUCACACAAUCAAAAUUAGGGAACAAUAAAUCAAUCGAACAAAACAAAACUACUAAGUUUUGAGUGUAAAAUUUGGUGUAAUAUUAAAAAUUAAAAAAAAAUUGAGGUUUAUAAGAUGUAAAAUUAUUUAUUAAACUCUUUUAAUAAAUUUAAUAUUAUGAUAAUUUAUUAUGAUAAAUAAUAUUUAAAAUAAGAAAAGAUUGAGCUUUUAAAGGAUGAAAUUCUAGUCAUUAGAUUAAAGAAAACAUCACCAAAACCUUAUUUCACAGAUGAAAUCGACUACAUAUAUGAUAUAUCAAUUUUCACGCUAAUAUUCUAUCAAUCACCAUAUUUUAUAGCCAUUAGACUAUUUAAUCAAAAUUAUUCAUAAUAAAUUUCAUUUGAUAUUUACUUUUUAAUAGAUAAUAAAGUAGAUAUAUUUAAUCUUUAUUAAAAAAUUAUUAAACAUUAUUGGUAUUAAAUAUGAUUUUAUUAAUUUUAAUUUUGAUAUAAUUAAUGGAUAUAAGUAUUGGCUCAAGAUAUAUCAAAGCCUUUGCCAAAUUUUUAACAAAGAUUUUAAUAAUAAAAAUUAUGAGUGUAAUAUUUAAAAUAAAAAAUUGAGCUUUUUAAAAUGUAAAAUUAUUGAUUGAAUUAUCAUAAAUCAGUUAAGUGUGUAUUUAUGCAAGAUGGGACAUCCCAUUUGCAGGGGCACAAAUUCAACCCACAACAUCUCACUUUUUAUCUUGGAAAAUUCCAAUCAAUAAAUUACUUGAUCCAAAAAAAUCAUAGUAAAUCUUGUUUGAUAUUUAUUUUCAAUCAAAUAUAUGUAAUCCUUAAUGAAACCUUAAACAUUAUUGAUUUUAAAUAAGAUUUUAUUAACUUUAAUUUUAUACCAUUAAUAGAAGGACUAUAUUCUGGAACGAAUUAAUAUAUUUUCGUUAUUCUUAUUUUUAUUUAAAUAUUUAAAUAUUAUUUAAAUUAAUAAUAAAUAAUUGGUUUUAAAUGUGAUGAAGUUUAUAUCUUUAUCCGAAAAAAUAAACGAUAGUGAAUAUUUAUAUUAAAAAAUAACACAAUACACUUAAAUAUUUAAUCUCCUUAACCUAUCUAAAUAUCUAGGCCGGCAUAAGACAUAUUGAAGUUUAGUGUAAAAAAUUUAACAAAGCUUUUAAUUAUAAAAAUUAUGACUGUAACAUUUAAAAUAAAAAAAAUUGAACUUUAUUAUUAGAUGUCAAAAUAUUUAUUAAACACUCUUAAUAAGUAUUAAAUAUAAAUUUAUUAAAUUUAUUUUUGAUACAAUUAAUGAAUAUAAGUACGGGCUCAAGAGAUAUACACGCCUUUGAUAAAAAAUUUAACAAAGAUUUUAAUUAUAAAAAUUAUGAAUAUAACAUUUAAAAUAAAAAAGUUGAUCUUAAAAGAUGUAAAAUUCUUUAUAAAAUUAUUAUAAUAGUUUUUGAUUAAUUAAUAUGCACAGUCAAUAUCAUUUUUUUAUUAUUAUUAUUAUUAUUAUUAUUAUUAUUAUUAUUAUUAUUAUUAUUAUUAUGCGUCGGUGUACAACUCAUAAAAAAAGACGUCAAUCAUAAAUAUAUAUUGGUACAGUGUCGUCAAUUGGAUUGACGCAUCCUCGUAGGUGUUAUAUGCAGGGAUGAAGCUAGAGAUUUUGAACUGUAGGAGCAAUAUAUUAAUAUAUAAAUUUAUUUCUAUUUAUUUUUAAAUCAUAAAUAUAUAUUUAAUUUAUUUUUAAAUCAUAAAUAUAUAUUAUAUCUAUUUUUUAAGAAAUCUAUCUCUAAAACAAUUUUUAUUAAUUUUUUAAAAUUUUAAAAUUUUAAAAUUUUGUAAAUUUUAAAAUUUUAUUAUCAAGAAAAAUAUUUUUUUAUGUAUUUUUUAUGAGAUCAUAAUAUUAACAUAAAAUUCUAUAAAUCAAUUUUUUUAAAGAUCGAGGAAAAAAUUAUUUUAAAAUUAUAACAAGAAAAACAAUUCAAUAUAUUUCAUCUGACAUGUUUUAAUUUAAUUAUUGAAAAUAAAAAAUUCACUAUAUUUUUGGACAAUAUCCUAAAUAAAUAUUCAUAUACUUUAUUAUUUUCAUCUAAUUUUUAGUAAUAUCUUCAUAAUAAUAAUAUUAUUUAUAUAAAUUUAAAAUAAUAUAAAUUUAUAUAUAUAUAUAUAUAUAUAUAUUUAUAUAUAUUAUAUAUAUAUUAAUAUAUAUUAUAUAUUAUAUAUAUAUAUAUAUAUAUAUAUAUAAUAUAUAUAUAUAUAUAUAUAUAUAUAUAUUAUAUAUAUUAUUUAUAGUAGGGACCAUUUGUCUUAUGCUAUUUUAAUUUGUUAUUUCUUAAUUUCCCCGUCUAUUUCAGUGUUUGGAUUAAAAAAAGGGGGGGGUCGGGGGUUCCCUCUUGGGGGUGGGUUUAGUAUUUUAAUGUUUUUUUACUUAAUAUUUCUUUUGUGUUUUUCACAUUCUUCUAUGUCUUAGAUUGACGUCUUCUUUAUUUUGAAAGUGGGUUACUCUCAGAAAUAAUUGAAAAAGUAAAUUAUUUUAGAUAUCUAUUUGAAAAGUUAGAAAAUCUUAAAUAUUAUUCAUUUUAAAUAAUAUUUUAUUAAUAUAAUUUUUAAUACCAUUAAUAGAAGGACUAUAUUCUGGUAUCAACCGAAAGGAUUAUAUUAUUGGACUAUUUUAAAUUUCCUAUUAUAUUGUUGUCGUCUAUUAUCAAUUUAUUUUAUCAAUAAAUCACUAUUUGAAAUUUUAUUAGUAUUUAAGUCUUUAAAUUCAUCUACACCUUUGACUUCUACUAUUAAUUUUCAUUUUCAUUUUUUUAAUGUUUAUAUAACUGGUACAUUGUUAACUUGUUUAUUUAAUAAACAUUAAGCAAUAUUUUUAAAUUAACUUUUUAAUUUAUUUUUAUAAAUUUAUCUAAAGUUCCCUUUUAUAAUUUAAUUAAAAUUUCAACUCUCUUUUUUUAAUUUCUAAUUUUUUUUAUUCAAAUUUUUUUAAUUGACAUUACUCUAAAUAACAUAAUAAAACAAUUUCCACAAUAAACACAAACAAAAAAAAAAUUCAAAAAUAAGAUAAUUGAUUAAAUAUAAAUGAUUUAAAUUAAAAGUAAAUAAAAUAAAAUUGCAUAAAUAAAAUAUAAUUUUAUCCUUUUACAAUGCUAGAGAGGACAUACACUUUAUCAUAGAAGUAACGAUUAAUUAAUGGAGAUGAUGAAUUAACAUAUUUUAUACUCUCAUAUACACAUUUUAGGUUGGAAAUGAUUUGAUAUAAUCCUUUAUCUAACCUGUUUAAAUUUUAAUGGGUUGAAUUUGUCGUUCAACCCACAAUUUCAUUGUCAAAAUUGACAGAAACCGACUUGUUUAUUUAAGGGUUGUGUUCGCGAUGUUUUAAAUAAAAAUUAUUUUUUUAUAUAUUUUUUAAGAUAUAAAAAAUUUAACCCAAUUCAAAUUAGAUGAAACACAUCAUAUAAUGUCUAAUAAAGUUCAUCAACACGACAUAACACUCGAUAAUAGUAUUAAAUUCUAAUAGUAUCAAUGUUAAAUUAUUUUAAAACAAUUAUUUUAAUUAACUCUUUAAUCAUAACAUUUAUUUAUUAUAUUUUUAUAAUACAUUAUAAUAAAUAUAUUAUAAAUAUUCUUAUUUUUAAUUAGAAAUAUAUAAUGAUAAGUUAAUUAAAUAAUUAUGGUUUGUGAAAAACAAAAACAAAAUCAACGUCAAAGUUAUAUGCUUCAACAAUUUAUAUAAUGACUCAUUUUUAAAUAAAAUAGCUUUAAAAAUUAAAAGUUUGAAAAAUAAUAGUUGAUAUAUUAUAUAUUUUAUUUAUUUUUAUGUUGACAAUAUAAAACAUAGACAUUAAUUUUAUUCUUUAACCAUAAUUUUUAUAAUAUAUUAAAAUAAAAAGUAGUUAAAAUUAACUAAUAAAAUUAAUUAUAAAUAGUUUAAAUAAUUUAAUUAUUAUCAAAUAAAAAUAUAUAAAAUAUUUAUUUAGUAAAGAAUAUUAAAACGAAUAACAAAUUAUAUGAGAUGAUAUGACUUUUUUAUAAUCUUUUGUUUUCUUAAGUUAAAUUAUUUAGUAGAUAAAAAAAAAAAUUAAAAUUGAUAUAUUUCUCUCUCUUCUUUAAAUGAUAUUUUUUUUUCUAUUUCUUACCUUUUAAUAGUUGGAUUAAUCAAAUGGUUUAAAAUUGCACAUGAGAGAGGGCAUAAGAGAAAAAAUUGGAGAGGAUCCAAUUCCGAUAAAAAGAUGUGGUAAAUUUAUGAGUAGUUUAAUAAUUUAUACAUAUUUUUAGCCUUAUUAAUUGUCACUUCGUUGAAAAAGAAAAAGGAAAUAAUAAUAAUGAUAGUGAUAAUAAUUAAAUAAUAUUGAAUUUUUUGACAAAUAAUGUUAUUAAAUAUUAUUGAAUAUAAUAGAUGAAAGAGAAAAAAAAAUGAAGAUCUUUGUCUGGCUUACCUCCUCGUUGAAUAGGGUAUGCUAACUAUUAAUAUGCCAAAGCCUCUUUAAAAAAUUAAACAAAUCAAUUAUAGGAUCCGAUAACUAUUAAGGAAUUUCUUAUGUCAUCAUAUGAAAUGGAAAAACUAUACAAAAUUUAAAAUAUUCAUUCAAGUUUAAAGAUGCAUCUUCGAAUACACAUUUGUAUCACCUUAUGACGCACUAAAUGAGCGACACCCUAAAGUAAAAUAAAAUCUUAUUCCAAAGAUACAUCUCUGAGUAUUUUGAACAAAUAUAUUGAUAUUUAAGCAAGCGUCCUCAGCAUGACCAGAUACCUGUAUCAUACACUCAGUUGCUGUCGUAUCUUGUCCAGUAAGGGGCAAUUGCGCCAAAAGAGAUUCCGCAUGCAACUCCUCCCUAAAAUCACAAGCAUAAUCCUAAUGUGCCUUGUUCAUUUCAUGUCGGAUACAUAGGGCAUUCUAUAGAGGAUUAUUUGGUCCUCAAGGCCAUAAUGCAAGAGUUAAUUGACCAUAAGGUUUUGUCAUUCUUUGACGCAUGACCCAAUGUCAUAAACAACCCGUUGCCAGACCACUGUGGACAAAUAGUGAAUGCAGUUAGUGGCGAAGAUUGCUCAGAUUCAGUUGCUUCUUCAGAGGAGUAUCGAUGCUAGCAAUAUCAUAUUGAUUCAAUCAUGUAUCAUUUGUAAUCCUUUCUUGUUUUUUAAAUGUUGUUCAUUUGUAACUUGUCUGGUUUUUCAGAUGAUAAUAAUAAUGAAAUAAACGUGCAUGUUUUGCUUAAAUCCAUUCGUGUCCACUCAUAUUUUAUUUUAUCAGUAUCAAACUGUUUGUCGAACAAAAUCAAAAGAGAAUGAUGCAAUUAAAAAUACGCAAGAUCGCUGCCUGUAUGGUUUUGAAUAAGAUCGUGCUGAUGAUGUAAGGCAUUGUUCAAUCCCUAAACACCGGAGAUAUAAGGAAGAUAAUCCCUAGUCAACCCCUUUGGGUAUUGUAAUAGGAGUUUCUUUCUUGAACACAUAAAACCCUCAUGCUUAACCAGGGGCAGAGUAUUCUUCAGUUAGUUUAGACUUGCAUUCAAAUUUAAGAAGGACAAUAUCUCAUCCAGUGAUCAAUCAUAUCAUAUCCCUCUCAAGAGGAUGGAAUCAUAAAUCCAGGAUGGUUAUCCCUUACCCAUCAAAAAGAGUGAGAUAAUCACGACUCGUGCAACAAAUCGAGAAAGCUGUGUCACAAGGUUUUCUCUAGUACAAAAAUAAAAGAUGAAACAAAAUUAAAAGCCCGCUAAGUCAAAAGCUUGAAAACAAGAUUGACUUAGGCAAAAGUCAGGGUAUCCCGGUGGGAUGCAGACCCAAAGGAUCAGCCUAGGAAAAAAUAAGGGUAAACAAAACAAAAGAAUUAGAGGAUCAAUACCAAAAUUCGUAGCGAGAGCAAAUCCCUGUGACUAUAAACAAAAGCAGAAGGCGAGUGGCUAUCGCUCUAAAUUCUCGUGGAUUCCUUAAACCAUCAUUGUUGAUAUUCAAAAUCCUUUCUGAAAGACGAACGCUUAUUUUAAGCUAAUUGAAUAUAGAACUAGAUAACAUCACACAGAAUGGGUGGGUUAGAAUAGGUUUUGAGCCUUAUAUCCUUUCUUUCUGAAACCGUGAACUAGGCCAAGUUACAACCCUCAAAAGACCUAAUUGAAGUAGGGUUUAUUUCAAAAGCAUACUAUGGUAAGAUCGCGUUAAGCUGACUCCUUAAGAUUUUCUUGUCAUAUGUUUGAUACUGAUAUGGCAUUCUAAACAGUGAUUUGUUCACUAGAUGUCAUAAUCUUAGUGAACACACUUGAGUUUUCAAAACUUGCAUGAGCAUGACAUUACAAUUAUCAUUUUAAAAAUGAGCGUUUUACAUGCGAACAUGCAUUUGACACCAAGGAAGCUUACAAUGGGAAAGUUGAUCAAAUUCCUAAUAUCCCAUAGCUCAAAUCUCUUCAAGAGCCCGUCAAUCUAAGGCACCAUGCCAAGAUUUUGCAAAUCUCUCUGAAUCAGCUGUAUAAGGGAAAAGUUUAAUUCGAAGUUCAUAUUGGGGAAGGCCACCUCAAGAGCAUGAGAAGUCAAUCACUCCUAAGAUAAUUAACUAGGAGGAUAUAGUUUCAAGAUGCUGGGGCAAGCCAGUUUGAGAUACUCAGAUGACGAGAUCACUCUAAUUUGUAAUUGGAGAAAUUGGUGCAGAUAUCCAAUACAUUGGGGCAGAGGCAGGCUACGCAGGUACAAGCUCUCUCCAUGUUCUAGACAUAAUCCAGAGGUGUGACAACAAUUUUUCAGCUUGAAGUAGGUUCGAAGAAUCACGUCUGGAGGAUACCAUAUCCUAGCCAAAAAUUUCCACCUCCCUCUAUAUGAGCACCUGGAUUAACCAUUGCAUAAAUCAUUAUCAUGAAUAAAUCACGUCGCUUCACUCAUGCAUACCAUUCAUCUAUCAUAGCAUGAAGCCGUGUGUGAGAAUCAAAGGAAUUAAAGCCCAGUAUUUUAUUGGCAUCUCCAAAUUCCAAACUUGCCUGGUACCUUUUUAAACCAUCUAGUUUGACAAUUCUUCCAAAAUCCAAUUUGCUUGGCGUCUUUUAAGCCCAGUUUGCUUGGUAUCUUUUUUCGACCUUUAGGGUCGAUGAUCCUCUUUUCCAACAUUCAUGGUUGAGGAACCUUUUUUCAAUCUUCAGGAUUGAUAACCUUUUUCCAAUCUUUAGGGUUGACGAUCUUUGUUUCUAACCUUCAUGGUUGUUGAAUCUUUUUCCCACCAUUAGGGUGAUGAUAGACUUUGUUUCCGGCCUUUAAGGUUGAUGAUCCUCUUGCUUUCAACCUUUGCGGUUGUUGAAUCUUCUUCCAACCAUCAUGGUUGUUGAAUCUUUUUCCUACCUUUGUGGUUGUUGAAAAUUUUUCCAAACCUUCUUGGUUGAUGAACUUUUUCAAUCUAUGUGAUUGACAAACUUUUUUCCAAACUGUAAGGUUGAUGACCUUUCUUUUUUUCAAACCUCUGUGUUUGACUUUGUUUCCAGUUUUUGAACUGAUGAUUCAUUUGUGAAACCCCUUGUUUGCAAGAAUAUUUUGGAACUUUCAUGCGCUCUUUGAUUAGCAUACAUGGCCACAUGUUUCAAAAAUGAUAAAAAAAAAUACAAUUUAGCAUGCAUAUCAUGAUCGUCAUUUGCCAUUAAUAUCCCCACAGUACAUCAAAAUCACCAGCAAAUAAACCCGUAAAAAAUCAAGUUGAUAUCCCUAUAUCUCAUACAAUUGUCCUUCAAGGAAAAAAAUUCGGAUACUUCGAUAUUUAAUCCACGCAUACCUUAAAAAGCUGAAAAGCUCUCGCAAUUCGACCAUUCAGGUCUAAGCUGAUUAAAUAGGGGCAGAUGUCGUAUCCUAAAUUUGUCCUCCCUAUUUCAUCUUUCCACUCAAUUUAUCAACUUGAGAUUCAUCUGUACCACAUUCAUAUUUCAUUCAUAUGCAUCAUUCAUUAAUCAUACAUUCAAAGCUUGUGGCCUGCAAAUCUAAGGUUUGUUGAUGGGACAUGGCUCUUCAUAGGCUCAUCAUGUGAGGGGAAACCCUAAUUUCAUACUCUUUUAGACUUUGAUUCAAAAAGGUUACAAUCACGACAUUCAUUUAGUCAUUCAAACCCUUAUUCCUGACUUUGUUGUCUUUCGGUCUCACAAGCUUUCACCUGUGUAUCAUGAAGCCCUAAUCAGGGAAGAUUUGGUCCGGUUGCACCUUAUGGCUUGACUUUUCAUCUUGUGUGUGCUGGAAACCCUAAUUCAUUAGGGAGAGGUGUUUGACUAUCCUAUUAUGCAUGCCUACUGGUUUGGAAUUGCACAUGAUUCAGGUCUUGUUUCAAGCAUCCCUAUGCCCAUCACAUUUAACUUUGCAUAGGCCAUUAACUCAAGUCUUUUGGUAUGGGCAAAUGCAUAGACCCAUAUGCCCGAUUCACUUCAUUCAUAUGAUGCAGAUGAUCAAGGAUGAUUGGUCCAUUUAAGAUUUGGUUCCAUUGGUUCAUUCUUUGUUUCUUAAGCAAAAUCAUUAUUUCAUUUGAAUUAUGUCAUGUGAAAACCCUAAUUCAAAUUUCACAGUUGACUUCGAUUAACUAGUUUACCAAAGUCAACCAUCCCUUUUUGAGUCCAUUAAACUUUUUCAUUAAUCAUUCACACUUAAUCACAUUUUUCGAGCUAUUUGAUGCAUCCAAUUCAUUCAAUUUUCAAAUGUAAUUUUGACCAUUCCAAACAUUUUAACCAUUCAAGGUUAACAAUUUAAGUUCUAUAAACCAUCUUCUUUUACAAUAUAUUUCCACUCAUAAACUUUCCAUAAGCAUUCAAAAUUUUCCAUCAUAAAUAUCAUUCAAUACAAUAAACUUGUCCAUGGUUCGCGCAUUUAAUCCUUUCUUUCCAUCAUUUAUUUGCAUUGCAAUUCUAUUCAUCCAAAGUAUCAAACUUUUCAUAAUCACCAAGUUCCAUUCCAAUACAUUCAAGUUUUACCUACAACUUUCCUUUACAAUUAUUACAAACCAUUGUUUUACAUUGUUACACUAUGUAUCAACCAUAUCCUACAUAACCAUAUUAACCAUUCCAAAUGAUCAAGCAAGAUAGAAUUUCAUUCACUAACCAUACAAGAUAUCUCAAGCAUACAUUUCCAUUUCAAGCUACAUUAUAAUGCAUCAUAAUCCAACAAUAUCAUGAAGCAGCCCAUGGCCUCUUAUGCAUUCACUAGAAAUAUUUCCAUAGCACAAAUUGGCCAUGUCCCAAAAGAUAAUGCACAAAAAAAGCAUGAAAUAUCAUGAUUCUGUUAGGCUCUGUUUUGAAAUUAUUUACCUGAUGAACAACAGACAUAAAUGCCGAUCGAGGUUAUAUGGAAGCUUCAAAUACUGAAAAAGAAAACACACCCAUUGCAUUGAUGGCUACAGCUCUUCCUUUGAAACGCCAUUGAAGCUUCAAUUCGUGGAGCUUAAACCACUGCACCUCUUCGACCUCACGCGGAAAACGCAACAACAGCAUAUGCUUAGAAGAACAGAGGGAGAGGAAUAAGAUUGCAGCAACAUAACAGAAAGAGUGAAGGAACAAAAUUGAGACGAAGAAAAAGGGAAGAGAUCGGUCAAUACCUGUUCGCAGUUGAAGCAUCAAAUUUGGUAAGUCCUUUUGAUUUUCUUUUCUUUCUGUUUAAGUCCGCGAGCACAAUGUUGGAUGGAAUCACAUGUCGAUGAGGUUGAACACAAUCCAUGAACUCUAUUAUCUGUUAGAAUUAGAAUAUUAGGUUAUUAAGUGACAAUUAGAAAUUGUGAUUUAAUUAGAAUUCUAGUAUUGAUAGAUUUUGGAUUUUCAUUAGAAUUAAUUAGAAAUUUUAGAAUUUAACUAGGGUUUUAGAAUCUAUUUUAGACUAAUUAGAUUUUCACAUAAUUAUAUAUAAUUAUAAUUAAUUAGUUUUUGAUUAAAUGUUGAUUAUUAGAAACUAUUUUCCUAAUUAAUCCAUUUAUGCAUAUUGACUAUUUUACCCUUUAGAGGUUAUGUUUGUCAUUUUAGCCAUAAGGACAUGUUCCUUUAGGUUUAGAUCUUGACAUCAAUUUUUAAUCAAGUCUUGACCAAUUAUAUCAUGAUCCCUUAGGAUAGUUUGUAACAAAUUCUAACCAUUAGAUUAGGAUUUAAUCUAGUUUUCAAACUAAUUCAAACCUUCUGAUUCAAAUUGAUCAAAAGCAAUUUUGAUCAAUUAAAUCAUUUGAUAUUGUAUAAUCCCACAGUCUAAUUUGAGUGACACAAAUACUCUUGGUCACCUAAUGAGACUUUUUCGGUAAGUUGUGGAGCUCGAGGCCUCAAGUCAUAUUUUCAAUCAAGGCAUCAUCGGUCAGACCAAGCAGUGGAUAAUACAAGGUACAUCAAAGGUGGCAUCUUUGAGAGCUUGUCAAAUCAAAGUUAUGAUUGUGUGGCAUGAGCCUUGAGUAAUGAAGAAAGAAUGAGACUGAAGAAUUCCUACCCCCAUCAACACAAAGGGCAUCAUGUCAGCAACUUGUUAAUUUUGAUUCAAGUUGCAUGCCAUGAGCCUUAAGAAACAAAGAAUGAUGAGAGUGGGGAAUUCCUAUCCUUGUCUAGAAUAUUCUUGGGUACGGGACGAAUGACCCAGUUGCUCAAAGUAUUCGCCUUUUUCCAUAGACUUUGGUGCAAUUUAAAUCAUGCAAUUGACAAGCCUUCUUCUUCAAGCAAGCAUCAAUCAUUCAACACUUCAAUAGUGAAACACCAUUACCCCCUUUAGUAUUGGACUUUCCUCCUGGAUGUUCAUACAUUUCUUGGGAUUAUUACCUUGGGGUCACAUACCCAUCUCGCAAUCAAUUGCUUCAUGCAUUGCCUAUCAGUUCACACUAUGGCAUACUUCAUUGCUUGCCCUCAACGUACAGACCCUGACAUUCAGCCUAUGGAGUACAUACUCUGGCUUUGUUUCUUCCCCAUAAGGUACAGACCUUGGCAACUUCUUGCAGCCCAUAGAGUAUAGACUCUGGCUUUAUUCCUUGCCUACAACAUACCGAUCUUGGCAUCCUUGCCCUAAUGAGUUCAGACUCUGGCCAUCUGAUUUUGUCUAUACAGUACUGACUUUGACAUAUUAUUAUGCCUUAUAGUUAAGACUUUGGAAUUCAUUCAUCCAGCCCAUUGGGUUCAGACUUUGGCAUCGUACUAUUUUGCCCUUAUGGAGUUCAGACUCUGGCAUUCAAAUCAGUUCAUUUGCCUUAUAUAGUUCAGACUAUGGCAUGCUUAUACAUCUUGCCCAUGGAGUUCAGACUCUGGCAACCUUUAACAUUGUCUUGAAGUCAGACUUUAGAAUUAUAUCUCCUUUUCCCUUAUUGAGUUCAGACUCUGAGAAUCUGUUCCUUGCCUUUGUAUUAGUUCAGACUAUGGAAUUCAUCUAUCUUGCCUUGUGGAGUUCAGACUCUGGCUAUAUCUCAUUUGUCCUUAUGGUUGAUUACCAUCUUUGGUAAGUGUCAUACUCUCGCUUAUUAAGCAAUCACCUUGCCUCUGAGCAAUCCUAUCAAAUCUCCCUUUGCUUUCAGUUGUAGUAGGCUAAACUACGAUUGCUCUGAUUUUCUCAUUGCACGAUGAGAAUACAUAGGCACAAGGGUUCAAAUCCUCCGUGAGCAUACUUAUUUAUUACUCCUACCUUAGGGCAUUUCUCCAUCCAUCUCCAUGAUACAGUCAUAUACUACCUUUAUUCACUUCAUGUGAUAUACCCUAUUCUUUGAGCCAAAUACAUUAUACCUUUGUGCUCCAUCUUGUACCCCUUUGUGAACCAAGAGAUGUUUCUGUUGUGAAACCAAAAUUAAUUUCCUUUGUUUUCGGCUAUACCAUAUAGUGGCGAAUGUUCAGACAAUCCAUAUAUCGGUUUAUUCCAGUUUUACUCUUGGGUUCACGCUUUCACCCCUUGUUGGGGUUCAAAAUAUUAUCCUCUGGUUCAGGCCAUACCUUGAUCACAACUUCCUUUUCAUCUCCCACCACUAGUUCUUUGAACUACGAAGUUAUGAAUUCCUCAUUGCACUAUGAGUAUACAUAGGCAUGAGGGCCCUAAUCCUCACCGAGCACUCUAUCUAUUUCUUUUCAUUUUCCCCAUUCUUUUGCGAGUAAUCUUUAGAUACAACACUCAUUCGAGCGAGAACAAUCAAAACGGUUCCCAUGGAGUACCAUAGAUGUUAGGGAUGCUAAUACCUUCCCAUUGCAUAAUCAACUUCCUUACCCAACAUAUCUCUUUCCCCUGGGUUUUAUCGAUGUGUUCGGGUAUAUUUCCGCUAGCUGCAUCACCAACUCCAAAAUCUCAAAAAAGUGUUUUUAAAGGAACUCGCAUUAGCAAACCACCUCCUUCACCGUCUCUACCAAAAAUUUCAUUCAUUGACGAGAUGUUAUUUUUUUCAUAAAUACAUCGAACAAAUCGUCAAUGUUGAGGGUGACGGUAAUUGCGAUUUUCGAGCUAUUUCGAUUUUGCUGGGUAAAGGAGAAGAUGAUCACACACUUGUCUGCCAUCAACUUAUCCAUGGUUGAGGACCCAUAUAGAAUUAUACACACGACUUUACCGAAAGAAACAAAAUUUUGAUGCAAUUUAUGAGUCUUUUAUUCCUUGCAUUAGUGGUCCGAAACCAGAGGAAAAAUGAAUGUGCUUCCCUGAAAUGAGUCAUCUCAUAGCAAGUGCAUCUGAUAAAGUGUGUAUUGGUCUUACAAGAUACGAUUUUUUGGAAACUUUUUUUCCACUGCGCACCACCCAACCUCAAAAUCUAAAUGAUCGUAUUUUGUGUAUUAGAAUACCUUUAAAAUUACGACACUUUGUUCAAAUUUAUUUGAAACGGGAUGUCGUAUACCACUUACAUCAGUGGAGUGGACAACUCAUUCAACAAUAAAAUCCGGGACUUAGACGGGCCAAUUUAUGGAAAAGAUGCAAGAGUUUACCAAAUUGAGCGACAUUGAAAGUGAAUAUAAUGCACAAAAGUCAAAGGGGGAACCACUCAUACUUAUAAAUUUAGCCAUCGACAAAUAUUUCGAUUCGUUUUAGUUUUUCGUUAUCAAUUAAUUGUAUAUAAUUUUGUAUUAAUAGUAAGGGUUAAUAACAUUUUUAUAGAAACAUUCUAGUUGUACCUUGGGGGGAAUGACCCAUGAUUGAUGCUUACGUGUCAUGAUAAAUAUCAUGAUAUAUUUUAGUUUUUAGUUUUUUAAUUACAUAUAUGCUUACGUGGACUUACAGUUUUUUAUUUAUGAAUUAUUUCUAUUUUCAUGUGAAAAUUUAUUUUCUUUUUCAUUUAUUUUAAUCAUAACAAUUAUCAAAACUACUUUAAGAAAGUUCUAAAAUUUUGUCAACAAUGAAAUUCUCAUACGGAUUUGGCAAGGAACUUUGAAAGGAGAUUUGAAAGCGUGAACCACAACCAUAGAUAGGAAGAAGGAGAAUUAGGGUUCAACAUAGUUUGAACCGUGUUUAUGUUUAUGUUAGGGACCGAUUCGGGCUAGACCCAAUCUAGGUUCGGUUGAUCCACUAACCAUUAGUUUUUUUUUUAAAUUAUUUUGUGAGUAUACCAUUUGUUGUUUGGCCUUACCUAUUUGUGACUUGGGCAAACCCCACUUUAGGAGCCAUCUUGUCUUAUUUAUUUAUUUAUUUUUGUCUUUUCCUCAACCUUUUUUAUUGCAUUAAUAUUUUAGUAAAAGAAUAUAUAAAAAACAUAAACUUUUUCAUGAAAAAAAAGGUGGUUUACAAUUUUAUAAUAAUUGAUUUUUAUUGUUAUUUCAAUUUUUUUAUCAAUAAAUAAAUAAAAGUAGACAAAAUUUGUUUGAUGCGUGCCUUAGGGUUUCUUUUUCCUAUCAAGCUAUAUCUCAAAAGAAGAAUAUUUCUUUAAGAAUUAUUCCUUUUUUUAAAAAUAAAUUUGAUUCCAUUAUGGUUUGAUUUGUUUGAUCUUUAUUGAUUGUGUGAAUGCUUGUAUUGUUCAUACUUGAUCCAUGAUUUAUGUAACCUUUCACUUAGACCUUCGAUUGUUAGUAAGAUAAAAGUAAAUGUGCAAUAAAAUCAACCUUUUAAAAUAAGAUUCAAACACUCUAUCGAUAUGAAUUUGGUUUUAAAAAGAUCUCACUAUUUUCACCAUCCAUUCAAAGUUAAUUUCAAGUCAUCUCACAAAUUAUUUUCAUGCUAACACGAAUAAACCCUCGAUCAACAUCGAGUUUCUUUUUUGCUUAUUAAAAACUUGAAAAUCAUUUUCAUAAUAAAUCAGUUGAAAAAGGAAUGGGAGGCGCACACAUCUCUACUCCUCGAAUAAGUGAGUGAUUGGUAGACUCCAUAUUGCUCUAACUUUCAUCUUCCGAAUAAAAUAUCCUAAAUAAACAUGGAUGAAAAAGGAAGAGAGGCGCACACAUCUCUACUCCUCGAAUAAGCAAGUGGAAGACACACACCUCGCUACUGCGAAUAUUUUUUCUUCCGCAAAUAAUUUUCAAAAUAUUAAAAUCAAACAAAAAAGGAAUGGGAGGCGCACAACUUGUUGCUCCUCGAAUAAGUGAGUGAUUGGUGCGCGCCAUAUUGCUCGAGCUUUCAUCGUCUUCCUACAAAACACUAAACCAAUCAAACCUAUUUUCUCGCCCCCUUCGUUCAUCCCAAGACGAUGUAAACACGCUUCAUUUCUACCAUGCGCAAGAAGUUAUAACUCUUUUCGCUCGAAUGUGACGAGAACAAAUUUGUGAGAAUCUGGAUUAUGUUAUUCAUUCUAAUGUGAUGCCAAUGUUCACUUCUCCAUGUUUUUAGUAGCAAAUAAUGUUUUCGCUCGAAUGCGACUAAGUACCUUUCGUAAAAACUGAUCAACAAACAAAAAAUUUCUACCCAGAACUACGUAGCCUUGAGUUUUUCAUCGCACCUGAGAUAUGUAGAAGCGAGACCCGUAAUCUCGUCAGGCACAUUAAUAAAAGAAAACAUUUUGCGACCCAUUUUGUUUUCUCUUUACACUUUUGACCACUCGAAGAAAACAUAUGACAUAAGCUAAAAUUUCAACCACAAAUCUAACUAAAUGGUUCCCGUUGAGUGUAACAGAUGUGAGGGGUGUUAAUCCCUUCCCCUCGCAUAAUCGACUCCCAAACCUGAAUUUGAUUGUGACAAACAUUUUCUUUUUCUUUUAAGGAUUUUAUCAAUAUUUCCCCUCCUUUUUGGAAUAAAUCAAUUUUGAUGGUGACUCUGUUAUCUUGACCAUGCAAGCGCUCAUGGUCAUUUUUCGCGUCGCGACACUACUGUACAAUAGUUAUCUGUAUCAAAAACUAAAAUAUUUGUGUCUGUAUCUUGUUGUCUAGGAUUGUUGGAAACGAGAAGGAUGGAAAAAUAAAGUGUGUUUAUUUUUCUAUGUUGUAAAAUCACAAGGUGGUUUUUCUUGGUGAUUAAGUUAGAAUCUUGUGUAUAGAAUCUAGGUUUAGGCUUGUACAAAAUAAUAACAAUAUUGAAAUCUCUUAUAGUGUCUAAGGGGACUGACAUACUCUCAGAUUGUGAUGGGAACUAGUAUGAUUUUCGAUGUUAUUUACUUUAUGCACUUUACUGCUUUCACCACCUAACCAUAAACCAAAAAAUAAAGAAACAUUCAUCUCUAAAAACAAUGUACUUACAGCGAGAGCAUGAUAUUCCGCUUCAGUACAUGAACAAGACACAAAAUUUUGUUUCUUUAAGCGCUAUGAAAUCAAGGAGUUACCCCAUAACACAUAAAUGCUAGUGUAUAUUUCCUAGUAUCCAGACAACGUGCCCAGUCGAAGUCAGCAAAACCAUGCAGCUUUAAGGAAUUAUUGCUGGCAAAAAAAUGCCUCGAGUAGGAAAUGCCUUCAGAUACUUCAAAACUCGAGUGGCUUCCUAACGGUGAGGAACCAAGGGGUUAGCCACAUAUUGGCUAAGGUGACGGACAAUAAAAGAAAUACUUGGCCGUGUGUUUGUAAGGUAAAGUAGCCUGCUAAUUAAUUUACAAUAUGAAGAAGGGUCCUCUAAAGGAGUACCUUCACUAGAUGAGAGCUUCAUGUGAGGAUCAAUAGGUGUGGAGACAAGCUAAGCCCCAAGAAAACCAGUGUCCUCAAGCAGCUAGAGCAUGUAUGUUCUCUGGCUGAGAAAGAUACCAGAAGUAGAACGUGCAAUUUUGAGGCCCAAGAAGUACCUUAGUUGACUGAGAUCUUUAAUGCAAAAUUGUUGAUGCAGGAAAGACUUUACUUGUUUAUUCCACAAUCGAGUCGCUUGUCAAGACAAUAUCAUCAAUGCACACUGAUAAGGAAGUGAAACCAUGAGGUGUGAUCUUGGUGUAUAAUGAGUGACCAACAACAGAUUGAGAGUAGCCUAAUGAAAUGAGAGCUGAAGAAAGCUUAGAAUGCCAUUGUCGACUGACCUGUUUCAGUCCAUACAAUGAUUUUUUUAAGUGUACAAACCUUGUUGGAUUCAAGAUUACCAUAGCCAAGAGGAAGAGACAUAUAUACUUCUUUAUUUAGGUCUCCAUGAAGGAAGGAGUUUUUAACGUCCAGUUGCUCAAGGUGCCAGUGUUUGACAGCUGCAAGAGAUAAAAGAACACGAACAAUAGUAAUUUUGGCAAUUGGGAAAAAAGUAUCAAAGUAAACUACAUGUUCUAAUUGAGUGUAACCCUUGGCUACCAACCGGUCCUUGCAUAUAUCAAUAGAGCCAUUGGCAUGGUACUUGACUUUGUAUAUCCAUUUACAACCAACUGGAGUUUUGCCUAGAGGAAGGUCCACAAUGGUCCAAGUUUGAUUGUCCUUAAGAGAUGCAAUUUCAGUAUCCAUGGCCUACUUCCAACAGUCAUGUUUAGAGGUAUGAAGAUAGGUUUUUGGUUUAAAUAUGGAUGAAAUAGAGCAACAAAAGGAUUUGUAAGUUGGAGAGCAUUUUUUAUAUGAUAUAAAGUUGGAGAUAUGGAAGGUAGUGGAAGAGGAGUUAUUUAUAGAGGCAUAUCUAUUUGAUGAAAGAAAGAGAUUACAAUAAUAGUCUUUGAGAAAACUAUGAGGGUGUUUGGUUCUCAUUGAUUUUUGAGUUAGUAGUGUGGAUUGGUUUUGGGGAAUGUCUGAGGGAGGGUUAGAAUUAUGUGGAUACAUGUUAUCAACUAAGGUAUCAUGAAGGAUGUUGGGUUCAAAGUCAAUAACACUAGGAUCUUGGGUACUUGGUGAUGGAUUAAAAGUAGUUUGAUAUGGACUUGAGGUACUAGAGUCAAUCAAAGUAGGUUGAUUGAGACUUGGAAGGUUAGGGAUAAGUCCUGUUUCAGAAGUAAUAGGAUAAUCAUAAGAAUUUGUGACUGGUGUGACAACAGUAGAAGGAGUGGACAUAUGAGGCUCAGGGGUCAGAGUGAGGGCCUGAGGUGUAACAUAGUCAAUGUCAUAGGUGAUGUCCAUCAAGCUAUGAAUAUAAGUAGGGAGAUUUGUGGCAUUACUUUUGAAUGGAAAGGUGGUUUCAUAAAAGAAAACAUUUAGAGAUAUGAAUAAGUUAUGAGACUGAAGGUCAUAGAGAAUAUAACCUUUAGUACCAUCUUUGAAACCAAGGAGAAUGGCUUUUCUAGCCCUACCAUUGAAUUUUGUUAUGUGGGUCUGUAAAGUUGUUGAAAAACAUAAACAAACAAAGACUUUCAAAUGAACAAUAAUAUAUUAAGUUUUGAAAAAGCAACUCGUAUGGAGAUUUUGACUGAAGUUGAGGACUAGGGAUCCUAUUAGUCUUGUGGACAACAUGUUGAAUACUGAAGUUCCAUAGGUUUAAAGGAAUAUGUGUUAAUGUUUUCUCUCAACCACCCCAUUUUGCUGUUUUUGUUAUAGUGGUGGUGGUGGUGUGUGUGUGGCGGGGGGGGGGGUGUUCUACACAAGAUUUAUGGCGACUUAUGCCUUUGGAAGGGAAAAAGGAACUAAGAGUUAGGAACUUUGAACCCUUAUAUGACCUAAAGCAUUUAAGAGUGGUUUUGAAUUUAUUUCCUAUUGAGGCAAUAAAAUGUAUUACACUUUGUUUUGUUUCAGAUUUUUCCUUAAUAAAAUGACCCAUGUAAACCUUGAAAAUCCAUCAAUAAGAGUUAAGAAAUAUUUAUAGCCUAAAAUAGAAUCAGUAGAAAAGGGCCCCCAUAAAUCAACAUGUAAAAGUUCAAAUGGAGCAUGAGUAUGAGUAAGACUAUUUAGAAAGGGGAAUUUCUUUUGUUUUGCAAAAUGAAACGAAUCACAAGGGUUCAUGUUAUUUUUACAAGGGAUGGGGGGAAAAUGUUUAGCCAUAGUUUUCAUACUGAAAUUAGAAAGGUGGCCUAGUCUUAGAUGCCAAAGUUCAAAGGAAUUAGAAAUAACAUAAUUACUAGUGGAAUAAACAUCACUAAUAUCUAUCACAUAGAGGCCUCUGUGCCAUUUAGUUGUACCAAGCAUUUGCUUUGGAUGGUUCUGCAAAAUAUGACACAAGUUUGAAGAAAAUUUCAGAUAGCAAUCAAUAUUGCUAGUCAAUUUUGUGACUAAGAUUAAAUUAACAUGAAAGUUAGGAAUAUAGUGAAAAUUGUAAAGAGUUAAGGAAAGGGAAAUGACAAUGUUUCUAGAUAUGCAGGCAGUCAUGUGAGAUUCAUUUGGUAAGGAGAUUAAGCUAUUGAUUAACUUAACUCACAAAGAAAGAGUCGCCACAACGCUUUUAUUAUUUCCAAAGAAAAUAGAAAAAGAACGAACCAAACCCAAAGAAGUUUAAAAAAAACUAAUAAAAACAAAGAUAAGGGUCCAGGGGUUGGUUAUGUACAGGGAAGAUACUAGCACCCUAAGCAUCUAUAGUACUCUACAGGAACAUCUUUGAAAAUAUGUGCAUUUAGAUUUAAAAUGGUGUUGUUUACAAAAGAUUAGGGAGAUGAAAAGAGAUUUUUUUUUUAUAAUUUUUGUGUUUGCCAAGACUUUCUGAACCUCGUGCCUACGUACCCAUAAAGUGCAAUGGCGAAUCAAAACCUCGUAGUUCGUGGUAAAAAUAACAAAGAUGUUUGCUUUGAUUCAUUUUUAAUGAAUUUUUUUUUGUCAUUUUAAGAAGAACAUUCAACUAGCCAUCCACAAGUAUGGGAACUUUGCAUCACCAUGAGAAGGACUCUAACUUGGAUAAAUAUCAACUAGCUCUCUUAUAUAGAAAAGAAUUAUUAUCAAUACUAUGGGGAUAGAAAAAUUAUAUAUCAACUAUGGAAAUGACUCGUGUCUAAACUUUGAGAAAAAAGUUUUAAAAAGGAAAAAAAAAAGUGCACAAAGGGCACAAAAAGGUUUGAAUGAGUUAUGCAUUUUUAGUUUUUUGAAAUUGGUUUGAAUAUGAUUAAGAUGUAUUAGAAUUUAUUAAUAAAAGAUUUUGAAAAGAAAUCACUUGAAAAAAGUCAAGGUUUAUUGAGGAAGUAGUUCAAGUUUGAAAACAAGAAUGUUUUGAAAAAAAGAGAGAAGAUUUUGAAAAUCAAAGAAGGGGAGGAGAGGAAGAGAUUAUCCUAGAACAUAAAGUAAAAGCUAUGGAGGAAAGAUCCAACCAAGAGAUAACAACAAGAAUUCACUCCUUUGGAUUAAGCCUUAAGCAAGUCAAAUAAGCAAAGAAUAUUCCAUGUAUCAGAUGAAACCAAAGUAGCCAAGCAAAAUCUUCAAAAGAAUCUCAAAGUCAAAGGUAGCAGAUGAAUCUCAAGGUCUCAAAUCAGAAACUCCCAAAAGAUAAACAAGUAUGCCACUAGUUCUCUUAGAUGGAAAAUAAUUAUCAUCAAUACUAUGGGUAUAGAAUAAUUACAUCUCAACUAUGGAAAUGACUCAUGUCUAAACUUUGAGAAAAAGUUUUAAAAGAAAAAGUGCACAAAGGGCACAAAAUAGUUUGAAUGAGUAAUGUAUUUUUUAAGUCUUUUGAAAUUGGUUUAAAUGUGCUUAAUAUUUAUUAGCAUUUAUUAAGAAAAUAUUUUGAAAAUCACUUGACAAAAGUCAAGGUUUAUUGAGAAAGUGAUUCAAGUUUGAAAACAAGAAGGUUCUUGAAAAAAAAAGAGAAGAUUUUGAAAAUUAAAGAAGGGGAGGAGCUAAGAAGAUUAUCCUAAAACAUAAAGUAAAAGUUAGGGUGAAAAAUCUAACUAAGAGAUAGCAAGCUUUAUGACAUGUGUUAAGUAAGAACACUCUCCUUUGGAUUAAGCUUCAAGCAAGUCAAACAAGCAAAGAAAAAUCCAUGUGUCAGAUGAAACCAAAGUAACCAAGGAAAUUAUUUAAAGUAAUCCCAAAGUCAAAGGUACCAGAUGAAUCCCAAGGUCUCAAACUAUAAACUCCCAAACAAGGGUCAAAAUUCUAGUUCUAACUCCGUAACUCCAUAAUAAUCCCAAUGAUAGUAACCUCAAGUCCAUGAAUUAAGAGAACCAAUUUUUAGGGGUUUUUUCCUUUAUUAAUGUAUUUAAAAGAAAAAGAAGUCUAAAUGGACAAAGAAAAAAAGGCAUAAACAUAAACAAAGGUCCAAGUGGACAAAUAGAAAAUAGCAUAAAUACAAACAAUAUGAUAUGCGAUGCUAAAAUAAAAUCAUAAAGUUAAUAACAAGAAAUAAAUGGCAAAAAAAUAAAGAGCAUAAGAUAAAUGGCAUUAAAGUAAAUUUAAUAUAAUAAUAUGUUAGUAAGUUGUGUUAGUAAUAAAAAAUUGAAAGAUAAUUUAUCAUUUUUGGGAGAAUACUCAACUAUUCGCCCACAAGUAUGAAAAUGUGGACCUCUACAUCACCAUGAGAAAGACUCCAACUUGGAUAAAAUCAAUAAGUAUGCCACUAGUUUUAUUAGGUGAAAAGGAAACAAUAUUUUUCACACAAUACCAUGGGGAGUAGGAGACUUACAAUCUCACUUAUGAAAAUGACUUACUUUCGGAUUCAGGAUAAAUUUAACGUUAUGUUAAGCAAUCGUAAUUGGACUCAUGUUGAAGUCACAACUAUCUGAGCCCGGUCAAUAAUAAUAUUUAUGUUAAUACAUGCUAGAGAAAUUAUAUGUAAAUCAUUCUCCUAAAGAUAUGCCACACAAAAAAAGGAUGGAUCAAGCACAAAUGUUAAGAGAGUUGUUCAUUACAUCAAUCAAUACUUCAUGAUACUUAGGACAAGCUUAUGCAUCAAUCUAAAGUACCUUAAAUAUUCUAUGAUCAAUUAGGAGGUAGAUUUGAAGUGAUGAAAGUUCAUCAAGUACCAAUUCAUACAUCAUAAACAAGAUGAACACAAACCAUCCAAUUGAUCAAGAGAAAAAAGGAAGCGAAAGAGAUUAAGAAGAAGAAGAAGACGAGAGAAACCAAACUCAAAUUGGAUCAAAGGAUUGAUCAAGUCAUCAUCAAAAUCAAUCAUCCAUCUUGGUAGAUUUGGGUUUUCACCCCAUCAACACCGAAGAUCCAUUGAAUUUGAUGAGAUUUAUGAUCAAAAUAGCCAAGAUCCAAGGUCAACAGAAGUCAACAAAGGUCAAACAAGCAUAAAAUGAAAGAAAAUAAAAUAAAAUGCAUCAAAAAUAUUUUUUAAAUGAAUUUUAAAAGGCAAAUAAAACAAAAAAUUCCAUAAAACCCUUUAAAAUACCAAAUAAAUGGCCAAGAAAAUUAUGGAAGGUUGAAGAUAAAAUAAGGAACAUAAAAUAAAUUUUUCAAAUAUUUUUAAUGCAUAAAAGUAUUUUUAAACUAAUUAAAAAAAGGGGAAAAAGAGGAAAUCCAAGAAAAUAAAAUAUGGAAAAAUAAAAAUCAGAUGAAGAAAAAAAAAAGAAAAUUUUAGAAAAUAUUUUGGGAUUUUUUGGAUAAAAAAUGAAUUUUCUAUAAAUUUUUAAAGAAAAUGCAAUUUAAAAUAAAAAAUAAAAAGAAAUAAAAAACAGAAAAAAAUAGAGGCAUUGGAUCUGACCUCAUUAAUUGACGUGGCAAAUCCAACAACUAUCAGGCUAGGGCGCAUGGUGGAAAAUAGUUAGAAUAAAACAUGGAAUCACAUUCAAAAUGGACCAAUCAAAACAUUUCAAAAUGCCAACGUGGAUAGCCAACUCAGAUGGCCUGAAACAAAUCCAUUCAUCUUCUUCGGUAAUCCCUCAUCGGAGUUUCAUCAUUUGACAAAGUAAGAACAUGAGACUACCACCAAUGUGAUCGUCUCCUCAUCACGAAUUCAACCUAAUGCUCAAAAUUAAUUUAUCUAAAUUGAGUAUGGAGAAUUUCAGAGAAGUUUUAGAAACAAGCAAGUCACAAAAAGUAAAAUUAAAUGAUGAACAUUAUCACUCAACACCAGAUAAGUUAGGGGAAAGCAUAAGAGGGUGAAGGACUACAUUGUGGUAACUCGUUUGAGUUCAAAUGAUGCUCAAAACUACCUUGUCCAAAUGUAGAUCGGAGGUUGAAGAAGCUUGAUCUGGUCAGGGCACUUCAGAAGGUCUUACAGAUUGAGAAUUAUUGCAAAAUCUUCAUAGGAGACUGAAAGUUUUAAUUGAAUCAAGAAAUUGAACUGAAACAAGCUAGAAAUCAAACACGAUAGCUCAAUUUUCUAGAAAUGUUUAAUAGUGGAGCAGGGGUUUUUUAGCUCUCCAAAGCUUGGGAAUAAGGCAAAUAUAUUGCUCUAUUUAUAGGGAAGUGAUUGGUGAUCUCAUACGUGCCAAAUGAUGCUUAAUUCGUGCAAAACAAAUUUGCUCAUGAUGUGAGAAAAGUGUGACUUGUAAAACCAUCAAAACUCAGCCAAAUUAUGCAUUAAAUGAUUCAUUUAACUUUUGAAGACUUGAUUAAUCAUGUUUAGGUCCAAAACGUGUGGUAAAUUGGCUUGUAAUUAAGGAUUAGUGAAGUUCAAAAUUCUGAACAUGGUGAUUUCUUCAGUUCCAAGUUACCAUGUUUAAUUCAAUGGGGCAUCUUGCCUAGGAGGCUUUUUGAUCUCAUUUUUCUUGCAAUUUUUGGACAUCAUAUCAAAGAUUACAAUGUGCCAAGAAAGGUUGCAUUUGGAUGCUUGAGCAGAAGUUUAUGGCAUGUUAAAGUUGGCACAAAAAUUUGGUUAUGCAACUUGGAAAAUUCUAAGUCCCAGAUGGCUAAAAAUGACCCAUAAUGUCUCAAAGAAUUCCAUGGUCUUCCAAGCAUAAUUUGACUUUGAUCCUUGAAGAAAACUUGUAGAGGGCAUCACAAAUGAUAUUAUUCAAAAAGAAUCAGCGUCAAAUGUUGGAAAUUGAAGAAGUUAUAAUCCUUGAAAGUUGAGAAAAAGUCACUUGAAAAUAGGUCAAAUUUCACUAGGUCCACAAAUGACCUAUAAUGUCUUCAAACUUUUGAUGAUCCUCCAUGCAUAAUUGGAUCUUGUAAUGUAAAGAGAAGUUAUAGAGGAUAUUUAGAAGAGUCAUAUGCAAAAAGAAACAUUCAAAAAUAUUGAGGAUUGAAGGAAUUGUGAACCUUGGAACUUUGACUUCAAAUGUUGAAUUUUUGGUCAAACCUCUUGGAAUAAACUUGUGUACUUGGACUUUUAUUGCAUUUCAAGGUACAUGGAUGAUCAUAUGAACUAAAAAUAAGGUGUCCUUAAAUUUAUUUUUAUUAAAUUUCUUAAAGUUUGAGGUAACAUAUUGAAGAAGGCAUGGAAAUAAACACAUGAACCUUUGCCUUUUCUUGAGACCGAUUAUCCACUUUUGUGUAACCGAUUACAAGCGCAAUAUUUUGAUUUUUCCUGCUAUUUUACUUGGUCAAUUCAGUUCCCAAUUGUGUUGUAUCUCUUGUAUAAGUGUUUAGAAUGCACACUCAUCUAAGGUUAAUGCAAUAAUAAUCUCUCACCCUUAAUUCUCCUCUUUCACACUCUACAUCCAAAGUAUCUCCACCAUUGUUCAUCAAACUUGUUGUGUCUUGUUCCAACAUUUGACAUCAAGAGUCUGGUUCAGAUCCACAAACACCUAGUGUGCAACAUGAAUUAUGUUUCCAAUGAAAGAAUCCCUGCAAACCUACAUAUCCUUGAUGCGAAGAAUUAUGAUAAAUGGUGCAAGAAAAUGAAGAUGUUGUUUGGCUACCAAAAUGUUCUUAAAGUAAUCAAGAAUGGUGUUAGCCCUCUUGUUCAAAAUGCAACAGAGGUGCAAAAAGAAACACAUAAGAAAGAGAAGAAGAAAUACUUCAAAGUGUUAUUCUUGAUCCAUCAAUGUGUUGAUGGCGACAAUUUUAAGAAAGUUGGUGAUUGCGAAUCGUCAAAGCAAGUGUGAGAGAUCUUAGAAAAGACAUGUGGAUGGGUUGACAAGGAAAAGGUGGCGAGGUUACAAACUUACAAACACCAGUUUGAAUUGAUUCAAAUGGAGGAAAAGGAGACAAUAAACUAUUUUGCAAUGAGAAUCACCCGGUUGGUGAAUCAAGUGAAGGCAUGCAAAGAAACUGUUACAAAGCAGUAUGUUGUCGCUAAAUCUUGCAUUCUUUAACACUAAGAUUUGACAAUAUAGUUGUGGCGAUUGAGGAGUCAAAGGAUCUCACGAUGAUGAGUAAAGAGAAGCUGCAAAGUUCUCUCGAGGCUCAUGAUAAAAGGAUGGAAGAGAGGAAUAACGUUAAGGCAAAGGCGGAGAUCGCUUUGCAAGCUCGUUUCAAUGAGAAGGACAAGAGAUCGAAAGGAAAAUGGCCCAAGAAAAGAAAAGGGAAUUUUCAUAAUUUUGGUGGAAGAGAGUCCUAAAAUUCAAAUAAUUUUACUUGUCAAAGGGGUGAGAGCAUCUUCAACAAACAUGGUGGUCAAGGCAACUUUAGAGGUAGAAGGAAGAGGUUUGACAAGAGCAAGGAGUAGUGCUAUAAGUAUCAAUGGUUUGGCCAGUUUGCAAAAGAAUGCAAUUUGAACAAGAAGGAAUCUCAAGGGGAUGAAGCCAAGGUUGCAAGAUAAGAGUUUGAUAAAGAGAAUACAUUUUUGGUCAUGAUCAAAGAAGGGAAUUGUAGCAGCAAACAACUGCGGGACAACAACUACAACAACUCAACGAAUGCUGAAUAGGUUGGUUGAAUGAUACGAUUAACCAAUUGCAUGAAGAGGAAGACGCCAUGAUGAGUUUGAAAGGAGUUCAAUGCAGUGAGGAGUGGUAUUUGGACUUGGUUUGUUCAACUCAUAUAACGGGAAUAAAGGAUUGGUGUGCCAAAAUCAAUUGUGCCAUGAAGAACAAAGUAAAGUUCGCGGAUGACACCACUCUAAUAUUCAAUGGGAUCAGUGAUGUUUUAAUCAUGAGAAGGGAUAAUGGACAUUCCUUGACCAUAAAUUCUUGUACAUUUAGGGAAUCAAAUGUAACCUUCUGAGUAUUGGCCAAUUUCUUGAGAAGGGUUAUAAGAUUCACAUGGAAGACAAGGGGUUGCGGGUUAUGGAUGUAAGAUGAGUCUUGGUCCUUAAAGCGCAUAUGGAUGCCAAUAAAACCUUUAAGGUUGAGUUGAAGGUUAUAGAGCAUAAAUAUCUUGCUACUGUAACAAGUAGACAAUAUUGGAUUUGGCACUAUCGUCUUAGGUAUCUCAACUUUAGAGAUUUCAAAGACUUUCAAAAGAACAGAAUGGUAACGGGGCUGCCAUCGAUCAACAUACUAGCUGAAAUUUAUGAAGAAUGUAUGCAAGCGAAGCAACAUAUGGGAAAAUUAAGAAAGUAGAUUCUAUUGGUGGCAAUAUGUAUUUUUUCACAUUUAUCGAUGAUCAUAGUACGAAGCUAUGGACAUACCUAAUCAAGAGAAAUGACGAUGUAUUUGAUGAUUGUUUGUCAUUGCAUAUAUUUAAUCGAAGAAUCAAAGAAAAAUAAGUGAAAUUUGAGAUAAAAUGAAGAAGAAUGAGGAAAAAAUAGCUAAGUGUGAAAAUUGUGGACUUAUUGAAAAUUUGAGUGAAAAGGGGAGCAAAACCGUGCAACCACGGGAAUAAUCACGCGCACCAUCACAUAGCAUCGUGCACGCGAUGGGGUCUUUAAAGCAGCAUUACACGCGCGAUACAAGGAAUCACGCGCGUGAUAAGUACUUUUUAUGGGCUUUUUAGACACGUUCUAGUCCAUUCUAACGCCUUUAAAAGAGGAUUUUCUGCACUUUCACAAGGGUUACAAAAUUGGGAGAUCUAGGCACGAUUUUGAGAGCACAAGUGGUGAUUUUUAUAGCAUUGGAAGCUAUUGGAGGCCAUUACUUCAACGUAUUUCACAUGUUAUUUUCAUCUAUCAAUUAUGGCAUUUUUAAUUGCAUUAUGAGUAGCUAAGCUCUUUUAUAUUAGGUUGUGUUAUGAUGAACCUAUUUCUAUAUUGUUGGAAUCUAUGUUGAUUUAACCAUUCUAAGAACCGUUUGAACUAUAAUUCCAUUCAAUUGCUUUUUGUUCAUAAUUCCUUUUAUGUGAGAUACUCUUUUAAUCUGAUUUUGGGCACAUAGGGAAUAUUGACUAUUAGUCUAUGUGUUGGACCUAGGGAAAUUGUUGUACUUACGCUGGUUGAAUAGGAAUAGGAGACCCUGAGUAGUGGCAUAGAGAAUUAAUGUUUUAUACAUCACCUAACCUUGCUUACGCUGGCAGACUAGGGAUAGAAAGCUCUGAGUAGUGGUUAGUGAGUUAUUUCGCGAGGGAUCAGCUAUAACGGUUUUGUUAAUUCGAUGUGGUGUUAUAGUGAUAAGACCAUUCGUAAAAGAUAUAAAACAUCAACAAUAGAGGAAUAGGGGAUUCUAGAACACAAUAUGCUCGUUUUCGUGAUAUUGUUUAAUUGUUUAUUUACUUUUCGCACUGAAACUCGAAAACCCCCCUUUUUACUAGUUUUCUAUAAAUUGCACACAUUUUGUCUUGCCUGAAGGAAAUUCAUGUGGAUUCGAUCUUUUUAUUACUUCGACAAUAUCAAUACACUUAUCGAGAAAUCAUUAAGUUUUUGGCGUCGUUGCCAGGGACUGUUGAUUUUUCAACAAGGCGAUGUUUGUGCAAUUUUUAUUUUUAUUUUUUUAGUCUUUUAGUUUUUUUUUUCUUUUUCUUGUUUAUCAUAGUGCUAUUGAGGUAUUUUUUGUUUGUGUAUGCACAAUUUAGGAUCAACAUUAAUACCAUUGGUUCUAGAAAUUGAAAGAACUACACGUGCUCUCAGAAAAGCAGUUAGAGAAGCAGCUCUGAAAGGAGGAAUACUAGAAGAAGAGCAACUAUCAAAUUCUUCUGACUCUGAAGAAGAAGCUGUAAUGGAAGCUGCACAACCCCUAACUAUGGGGCAUUAUUAUAAAUUAACCGAUGAAGGACACUUAUCAAGAGGGUUUGUGCUGGUAGACCCUGCUAACUUUGAUAUUAAAAAUUAUGUGCUUUAAGGUUUGAGAGAAAAUUCGUUUGAUGGGAACACGAUUAGAGACCCAUGGGUGCAUCUUACACACUUUUAUGAAAUAACUUAAAUGUGCAAACCAACUGAUGCCACUGAAGAGCAGGUUAAAUUGAGGUUGUUUGGGUUCUCACUAAUUGGAAGGGAGAAAGAUUGGUUACUUUGCCUUCCGAAUAAAACGAUACAUACUUGGAAGGAAUUAAAGGAUAAAUUCCUCGAAAUAUUUUUCAUUACUACUCAGUUUACCGAGCGCUAAGCAGAAAUUGUGAAUUUUGUGCAGCAGGAAACUGAGUCACUUUAUGACUCUUGAGAAAGAUUCAAAUUUUUGUUACGCAGAUGCCUGAAUCACAACAUGAAUAAUAUGGUGCAGAUGUAAAACUUCAUUAAAGGUCUCAAGAGUCAAACUCACAUGUUAUUGGAUGCUUCUACGAGAGGUACUAUCUGAAAAAUGAAUGAACCACGGGUAAAAGAUCUCAUUAAGAAGAUGUGUAUGAAGGAGUACCGAUCCAAGAAUGAAAGGUCGGUCAAGAUGGGAAUUGUGGGCACGCCUAAAGGUAUGUUACCUAUUGAUACCCACACUGCUCUUUUAGCUCAGAUUGAAUUAUUAAAUAAAAAUCUAGUUGGAAGCAGCUUAGUUAAAGCUAAUGUAGGCUAGGUACAAGCACUUGGGUGCGAUUUAUGUAGAAGAGAACAUGCGAAUGAAAGGUGUUCAUUGGAAGAGACAAGUGAGGAGGUCCAAUUUGCUAAUUUUUUAAAAAAUAACUUGUAUUCAAACACAUACAAUCUGGGUUGAAAAGACCAUCCAAAAUUCCGUUGGAAUAAUAAUCAAAAUUCAAAUGCUAACUAAGGGAUGCAACAAAGUCAACAAGCUCUGUUUCAAAGGAAUCCCAUCACAGUUGGUAGAGACCUCACAAAAUUUCAUUAAGGUCACUCAAAGUAGAUUUGAUAGGGUAAAGAAGACCCAUGAAUAAAUGAGUAGAAACUAGGAUGCGUCUAUCAAAAUUUUGGAGAUGAAGAUUGGUUAAUUAUCUAGAAAAGUAGCUACUUUGUCAAGCUCAAGUGGAGGAUUCACCAGUAACACCGUUGAUAACCAUAAGAAUGAUAACCCUAAAUAUAGGUUUAAGGGCAAUUACUGAAAAGGAUAAGGAUGAGAUAGUUAAACAAUGUGUGGUUAAGGCAUAUGAGGGUACCUGUAGCACCUCAAAUUUGCACCCCCCAUUCAUGCAUUCAUUUCAUUUUUUAGGUCAUUUAUCAUUCCAUAUUGCAUUGCAUUUUGGCAGUCAGCAUUGGCAUCAAGAGAUUCAUCAGUACAAAAGAGAAAGUUUUUUCUUGAGAUGAAGGCCAAAUGAUUAUACUAAAGAGCUUAUAUGAGCCCAGGUUCAUUUUGAAGCAAAGUUACCAAGUGGUAGAGGCCCAAACUCAUCAGUGCACUUCCAGGUCAUCUGAGGCCCAUACAAGUCAACUAUGCAGUCAACUAAGGGCUUUGAGUUGGGGAAAUGGUUUGAGACACUUCAUUCAUGUCCAAAAGAGGCUUUUUCAUCAUGUCAAACAUCUACCUUGAAGAUUUUGAAGUCAAAUCAAAAGUUUCCAAAAAUGGAAAGUGACCUGUAAUUCAAAGUUUCCAAAAAUGGCAAGUUUUUAGACCACAUUCAACUUGACUUUCCAACAUCAAAUAAGCUUCAAAUGAAUUUUUGGUCAACAUGAAAGUUGAAGAUAUUUCUCUCCUAUUUCCAAAAAGUCCAAGAGUAUGAGUAUCUGAUGAAUGGUUGAGAAGUUAUGAACAAAUGAUUGCAAAGUAUGCAUGGAACUUCAAAGUGCCAUAACUUUUGAUCCAAAACUCCAAAUUGAGCCACUCUUUUUGCAAAAUGCUUGUAUUGACCAAUAUUUUCCAAAUCAAACAUUGCAUUGCAUGAAAUUAACUCACAUGAUCAUUUGUCCAUGCAUGUAUAUUUUGGAGGGAAAAUGGAUAAUUCAAAUUCUAUUGAUCAUACAUGAAAAAUUCCUAUGCCAUUGUGAUCUUUGGAUGAUUUUAAGUGACUUUUAACCAUGCAUGUGCACUGUUCACGUGUAAAAUCUCCAUGCACCACACAUUUACCAUUUUUGCAUUACACCUCAUUUCUCAUUAAGUUUCCAUUAGCCAAGCCUAAUUGUGAUUAGCAUGAUAAUUAACAUGUGAUAUAAAUAGAUAAUCCUAACUGAAUUGGAUGAGAUUACACAUUCUAGAUCUAGAAAUUGGAUUUCCCUCCAAAAAUUCUCUCAAUUCAAACAUCAAAUUUCUACACAUAACUCAUGAAUUUUCUUGCAUAAUUGUGUUCAUCUUGCAUCAUUGAGUAAGAAUCAAGGCCUGGACUGAAGGAUUUGGUGCAGAGUCGAGCUCCACGAAUGCAUGAAAAUGAAGAAGGUUUUCUGAAUUUGAGCUUCAUUUAGGUAGUUUCAAUUGCUAUUCCUUCCAUAAAGCUUCACCUCAAGGUUGAUAGAGGAGACCUGGAGCUGGAGGAGGCUUGAAUCCACGAAAUCAUCGCACUGUUCUUCAAGAAGGUUAAAAUUUGAAUCUCAUUAUUUGCCAUUUUAUGCACAUGAUCUUGUAGGUCGUGCUCCACUGAUGAUUCUGAUAUGAAUAUUAUUGAUUUUGGCUGGAUAUUGAGUGAGUUAUGAUGAAUUAAAGUUUGUAUGCUAAAUUUGUUCUUGCUCGAUCCAUGAGAUAUGUGAUGAUUUAGAGUGAAUUAGGCAUGGAUUUGGAAUGUACGUUAUGCAAGCUUUCGAUCCAUAUCAUUUUUGCAUGAUUCUAGAAUUUUUUUGAUGCACCUUCAUCGGCGUACCACCGGAGAAGAUGACCGAAAGUACUAUUCCGGUCAUCUGGUUCAUGAGCUAGGGUUUUAAUGUGCGCACCUGUAACCAUGCAAGCCCCAGUUCGAUCCUUGGCAACUGUUAUUUUAAAAUCCAUUUAUUUUCUCCCUAUGAUCCAAACGUUGCGUUUUGCUCUAGCGCCCUUGUGAACAAGCCUUGCCUCUGUUCGAUUCUUGGCCUGGCAAUUAUCCCAAUUGAUUUUAUUGAGCGCGCCUAUGACCCUAUAGUCCUCAGUUCGAUUCAGGCGCUUUGCAUUUUUUCUUUUAUUUUCAAUUGAAGCGCUGCCUUGGACCUUUGUGUCCUGAGUUCAAUCCCUGACCAAGUAUUUUUCAUCUUUUAAUUCACAUUUCAUUUUUUCACAUGAUUGUUGUGAUGUCUAUUAUUUUUUGAUGUGAUUUUCCUAAUUUUUGUAUUUCUGGAAUUUUAAAUGUGUUUGUGUGAUUGAACAUGAUGCAAAUAUGACAUGUUAUGCUAAAUGUUUUAUGAAAUGCUCAUAUUUUAUCCAAUUGCCUUGAAAUUUGACAUGCUUGAUCUAUACAUGUGACAUGAUUUUUGAGCUUUUGUUUGGCAUUUUUAGCACAUUCCAUCACUGUUUGGGACACAUGAACAUAUGAUGUAGCAUUUGGUGUCACAUUCUUGACCUUGCUUGUGUUCAUUUUCAUUUGCAUGUCAUUUGAUAUCUUCUGGACCUAAUUCUUUGCAUGAUGCUUGUGUUUAAAAUUUUGAUCUCACAUAAAAAAUUUCAUGAUCAUUGGAUGCAUUUCUGUUUUAAUGUGGAUUUUCUACCUUUUUCUUGCCUUGUGUAGAUGAUGAAUAAGCACCACUGUUGAUUGACUGUUUGGUUUGUCUGAAUGUGAUAUUGACUGUUUGACUUUUGUACAGGUACAUUAGUCGCUUUUAGCUCUCGCUUGAGCUUUGCUUUGGUUGUGGUUGAUAUACCACCUAGGUAAUCACUCUAACUCCAUGUAGUCUGGAAGCCCUGUCGUUUCUUUUGGCAUGCAUUUGGUUGAAGUCCUCCUUAAGAGGCAAUGACUGUGUUUAUUUAUAUUUAUGCCAAAGACCUCCUUGUCGAGGCAUGUUACUUGUUAAGUCCUCCUAAGUGAAGAGGCAAUUGACAGAUGGAAAGGAUUAGCAAUCAAUCCCCUGUUAUUCGUUGAAUCGUUCAUUAUGCUCGCACUAUAUGCUGAUGCUCUUGAACCUAACCCAAGAUCCUUGUAUAUAGAGUCAGUCAAGUGGAAUAGGGUCCCUCUUUCUGGAUCCCCAGGUUUUCAUUGAUUUGAGCUCACCCAGGCCAGGGUUAAGAGCAUGAGGUCUUAUCCUCAUUACCUUUCAUCAGCUUCACCCUAACUCUCAAUGUUAGUGGUUAAGAGCUUCAGCACACCCCUACAGUUUUGGCUUGUUUGUCGAGGUUGAUAUGACCCCUUGACUAAAGCCUUACCCUCAGAUGUUUGAGCCCCUUGUUGGCGUGUUUACUUCAUGUAUAUGUUUUUGUGUGGUGUGAUUGUAUCCCCAUAGGAUUGCUAGACUUCGUAUAGUCUCUCGUUUGCAUGUCAAUUAAGGUAGCAUGGUUCCUUCGUCUAGGACUUCCUUUCUUGCGUGAGCAUUCCUAAAACACAAACAAACUUUAUCUUCUCUUAAGGACACGUUGACUCCUUCUACUACAGGUGAGUAAGUCUCCAAAGGUCGAGCAUCCAUCUAGGACUUCCUUUCUUGCGUGAGCAUUCCUAAAACACAAACAAACUUUAUCUUCUCUUAAGGACACGUUGACUCCUUCUACUACAGGUGAGUAAGUCUCCAAAGGUCGAGCAUCCGGUAGAUUGCAUAGUAACGUUGUUCACCUAAAAAACACAACAAACAGAAAUAGUUUAGCCGAACUACGACAACUCUGAUUCUCAUGUUCAGAUGAGAUACGUAGGCAUGAGAUGCGAUGUCUUGUCGAGUUUGACUGACGACUAACAUUAAUCCUUGCUAGUUUUCAUCCUCGUUGCGAUUCUUUUCUCUCGCCCUCGUUGCGAUUGAGACCUUCCUUUUCUCUUGCCCUAGUUGCAAUCGAGACCCUUCUUCUUUUCGUGUGUGUUUGUUAGGAGUCGGAUAUAAGUCCAUCUAUUGGCAUUCUGUUUCCUGUUUGCGUGUGUGUUUGUUAGGAGUUGGAUGUAAGUCCAUUUAUUGGCAUUCUGUUUCCUUGUGUGUUUGUUCGGAGUCGGAUGUAAGUCCAUCUAUUGGCACUCUGUUUCCUGUUUGUAUUUCCUUGUUAGGAGUUGGAUGUAAGUCCAUUUAUUGGCAUUCCGUUUCCUUUGAGUGUUCUUUUGACGUCUCAGCGUCUCUUUUCAGUGUUUUGUUUCGGCGUGCGUUAGCCGAGCUACGAGUGCUCUGAUUCUUCCUCUGGUUAGAGAAGAUACGUAUGCAUAGGAUGCGAUGUCCUAGCGAGCACGUCUCCCAUUUCCCCGAACUACGUCGACUCUGAUGUUUGUUUCUGACAAACUACGUAGGCCCAGGAUGCGACAUCCUGCCGAGUCUGCUUUCUCCGUCUCCUCUUCCGCCUGUUUAUUAUUCCAUUGCGUGCAGUCUUUGAGCAGUUUUAUUAGCAACCUUAUUCUUUCCUUCUGAGCGUGGAUCCCAUCGAGUACGACGGACGUGAGGGGUGCUAAUACCUUCCCCUUGCGUAACCGACUCCCGUACCUAGCAAUCUUUGUUCGUAAGACCAUUCCUUUCCCUUUUUCAGGUUUACUUCGAGGGUUUCCUUUCCCUCCUUUGGGAUAAAUAACGCACGGUGGCGGCUCUGUGUCUUUUCCCGCCGGUUGUUUUUCGCGAUGCGACAGUACCAAUCAAGGUGACCAAGAGGAAAGAGGAGUCACCAUUGAUCAACUUAUAGACAAAAAUUCUCCUUGGAGGAGAACAAAGAGGCAUAUCUUGACUGAACCAAAUCCUCCUUUACCAGAUUACGUAAAACCACCGUAGCCGAUAAUUAAAAAGAAAUUGGUUCAAGAUGAUGAAGCGGGAAUGUUUGCAAAGUUCAAGGAAGUUCUAGCUACUCUCCAGGAAAGUAUUUCAUUCCAUGAAAUUUUAGAACUAAUGCCUAAGUUUGUUAAAUUUAUGAAGGCGUUUCUAAAUGGGACGGAAGAGAAAUGAAUCAAGGAACAUGUAAACAUGACCGAAAAUGAUGAUAUGGUAAAACCUCAAUCCUUACAACCUAAACUAAAAGACUCAGGUAAGUUUAUUAUUUCUUGUAAUAUCAGUGGAUUCAAUAUUCUGCAUGCUCUAUGUGAUCUGGGGUUUAACAUAAAUGUCAUGCCACUGAAAACUGUCAAAGAAUUAAAAAUGGGUGAGAUCACACUGAAUAACAUGACUCUCACUCUAGUUGAAUCGUCUAUUACUCAAUCGAUUGUUACUUUACGCAACAUAUUAGUAUCUGUGGACGACUUAUUGUUUCCUAUAGAUGUUGUAGUGCAUGAUACAAAAGGAGAUUAAGGAGGAUCUGUUAUUCUUGGACGUCCAUUCUUGGCAACCGAGAAAGCAAAGAUUGAUGUGGACACUGGUCAACUUAUCUUGAAGUCAAAUAAAAGGAAUGUGGUUUUCAAGGUAUUUGACUGGGCAUCUUAUGUGGAUAAUUUGGAUACUUUAUACCAUCCGGAGGAAAAAGGUAGAAAAGUAGACAAAGGAACAAUGAGAAAGGAAGUGACAGGCGUGAGGGUAUCCCUUGCACCUGACGUACCUUAGACAUGGAUUGUCAAGCUAGUUACGUAAAAAAAGCGUCUGAUGGGAGGCAACCCAUCCGUAAGAAAUUAUUUUUAUGUCAUAGUGAAUUUUUAUUUUUCUAACCUUGUUAAUUUUUGUGUUAUGUUGUUCGAAGAGAAAAUAGGUAAAAGAAGAAAAGAAAGAAAAAGAAAAAGGGAAGAAAAUAGAAAAAGAAAAGAGAUAGGAAAGUUUCAGCCCCUGGAAUCAUCACGCAUGAUAAUAUAAACUAGUUAUUUACAAUAAAUUUUUUUGAUAUUUAUUUAAAGAAGCACAAUUAAUAUAAAGACAAUAACACACCAAUCACACAUAAUAAUUUUAGAAUAAUUAUACUCUAAGAUUUUGAGAGUCGUGAUAUCUCCUCUUCUUAAAUGUUUAAGAAUUGGAUCUCUCUCACUAAUCUCUAUCCCCUUAUUUAUUUUAAGAAUAAACAUAUUGAAUUAAUAAAACAUAAUUGCACAUUUCUUAUAGCGAUUAUACAAACAACUAUCAAAGUUGAAAAAACUAAAGAGAGGUCAACUCAAUCUUUAUCAAAUUAAAUUAAAGUUUAUUUUAAAACACAAACAACUAGUUCAUUAAAAAGAUAACUUGUUUAGUACACAAAUGAGAUCUUACUUAAUACAUAGAAAUAAGAUCUUACAAAACAUAGAUAUUAAAAACAUAGGAACAACAUGAAAAGUUUUCAAAAUGACAUAGACAUUGAUUAACAAAGACAUGAAUUAGUUUCGGGUAUUUUUUAACCAUCCAUCAAGGUAAACUUGUUUGGAGUCAGGGGUGAAUUUUUCUUUCUCGGCUCGGAUAUCUUUCAACCAUCCAUCAAGGUAAACCUGAUUGUUGUCUGAGGUGGAUUUUGUUGUCUCGGCUCGGAUAUCUUUCAACCAUCCAUCAAGGUAAACUUGGUUGGAGUCAGAGGGCAAUUUUAUUUUUUCAGCUCGAGUGUCUUUCAACCAACCAUCAAGAUAAACUUGUUUGGAAUCAGAGGUGGAUUUUGUUUUCUCUGCUCGGGUAUCUUUCAACCAUCCAUCAAGGUAUACUUGGUUGGAGUCAGGGGUGGAUUUUGUUCUCUCAUUUCGAGUAUCUUUCAACCAUCCAUCAAGGUAAACUUGGUUGGAGUCAGACAUGGUUUCUGUUUGCUUAGCUCGAGUAUUUUUUAACCAUCCAUCAAGGUAAACUUGGUUGGAGUCAGGGGUAGAUUUUUCUUUCUCAGCUCGGGUAUCUUUUAACCAUCCAUCAAGGUAAACUUGUUUGGAGUCAGAGGUGGGUUUUGUUUUCUCUGCUCGGGUAUCUUUCAACCAUCCAUCAAGGUAAACUUGAUUGGAGUUAGGCAUGGACUUUUCUUUCUCGGCUCUGGUAUCUUUCAACCAUCCAUCAAGGUAAACUUGGUUGGAUUCAGAGGUGGAUUUUGCUUUCUUUGCUCUGGUAUCUUUCAACCAUCCAUCAAGGUAAACUUGGUUGGAGUUAGGUAUUGACUUUUCUUUCUCAGCUCUGAUAUCUUUCAACCAUCCAUCAAGAUAAACUUGGUUGGUGUCACCUGUAGAUUUUGCUUUCUCAUCUCGAGUAUCUUUCAACCAUCCAUCAAGAUAAACUUGGUUGGAUUCAGAGGUGUCUUUUGCUUUCUUUGCUCUGGUAUCUUUCAACCAUCCAUCAAGAUAAACUUGAUCAGAGUCUUGGGAGGAUUUGGUUUUCUCUGCUCGUGUAUCUUUCAACCAUCCAUCAAGAUAAACUUGGUUAGAAUUAGCAAUUUGUUUUUGACUCUUCAAUGGAUUUUUGAGCCAACCAUCAAGGUAAGGUUGAUCAGCUUGUAUUUCUUCUACAUUCUCUUGCUGAAGUUUGAUAUAUCGGGCAAAGCUUCCUUGUCCAUUCUACGAUACAAUUGAAUAAAUGGAUAUUAGUGAGUUAUUUUUGGAUGGUAUAUAUGACUAUAAAAACAAAAUUAUGUGUUUUAUG